UUGAUUCUAGUCCGACUUUGUGAAAUGACUUGAGAGGUGUAGGAUAAGUAGGAGUUGGAAACAUCGGAAGUGAAAUACCACUACUUUUAACGUUAUUUUACUUAUUCCGUGAAUCGGAGGCGGGGCGCACCCCUAUUUUGGACCCAAGGCUGGCCUCGGUCGGUCGAUCCGGGUGGAAGACAUUGUCAGGUGGGGAGUUUGGCUGGGGCAGCACAUCUGUUAAAAGAUAAAGCAGGUGUCCUAAGAUGAGCUUAACGAGAACAAAAAUUACGUGUGGAACAAAAGUGUAAAAGCUUAUUUGAUUCUAAUUUCCAGUACGAAUAUGAACCAUGAAAUCGUGGCCUAUCGAUCCUUUAGUCCUUCAAAAAUAUGAAGCUAGAGGUGUCAGAAGAGUUACCACAGGGAUAACUGGCUUGUGGUAGCCAAGCAUUCAUAGCGAUGUUGCUUUUUGAUCCUUCGAUGUCGGCUCUUCCUAUCAUUGUGAAGCAGAAUUCACCAAGUGUUGGAUUGUUCACCCACCAAUAGGGAACGUGAGCUGGGUUUAGACCGUCGUGAGACAGGUUAGUUUUAAUCAUGACAGUGUCACAAUAGUAAUUCAACCUAAUAUGAGAGGAAUCGUUGAUUCACACAAUUUGUCAUCGCGUUUGGUUGAAAUGCUAUUGGCGCGAAGCUACCAUGCGUUAGAUUAUGACUGAAGGCCUCUAAGUUAGAAUUCGGGCUAGAAGCAUUGUGUGUGUCCGUCGCCCGUUUGCCGACCAGUAGUAUGGGGCCUCGGCCCCCUAGAGGCACGUGCCGUUGGUGAGCCCUAUGGGGUGGAUGAGCCUCGCUGGACGCAUUGAAGCGCUAUUCCUAAUUGAGCGGCGGGUAGAAUCCUUUGGAAACGACUUAAAUACGCGACGAGGUAUUAUAAGUGGCAGAGUGGUCUUCCUACCAUGAUGCACUGAGAUUCAGCCCUUGCCGCUUCGAUUUAUUACUCCCAUCUCAAACCUUUUUUUGAGCUAGGUCGUACAUCCUACGAGGGUCACAAAUCUGCACCUCGUAUGGGCAUCGAGGCGAGAAGGUGCAAAGUCCGUGUUCCACAAGCACACAUUAGAGAAAAAGUCACUUACAAUGUAGAGUGCGGCAUCGCCUCUAGACAUGCGCCAUGGUGCCUUGUAUGUGGUUCAUAGUGUCCGGUGGUUGGGGUGCUUUGUGCAUGGUGUGUUUCCUCAUGCGUGAUCCCAAGUGCAAGGUGAAAGAGAGGCCACGACACAUGUGUCCAAGUGAUACUAGGUGAAAUUGAGGCCAUUAUACCCUUUCCGAGUGCUAGGUGAAAGUGACCCAUUCUGUGGAACACUUUCCGAAUGCUAGGUGAAAGUGACCCAUGCCAUGGCACAUGGUUUGAGUGCUUGGUGAUAAGUGACAUAAAUGCCUAAAAUUCAUAUACUUUUUAUGGCACUUAUCCAUGGAAAAUUUGAGAAAACCAACUUAAUUCAACACUUUUUGAAAAAAAUCACAAUCUUGUAUAUAUGCUUCGUGUAUUUCUUUUGAAUUAUAUUUUGCAGGAUUUAGGAGGAAAAGAUAAGAAUUAAUCAAAUGCAAGCAAAGUGCUCAAAAUAGGCCAACAUGAUCCACACAUGACGUGCUUAAAAGGACUUGGCAUAUGUGGAAAGUAUGGAGUCAAUAUGAAGCUGCUCACUAGCACCUUAGCUUGGACCAAACCCAUGCCUAGCUGACCUGGACACCAACCAAGCACGACCAGACCCAACCUGGCACGGUCAAAACACAAGCAUGGCACAAGCCAACCUGCUCAAGCAGACAGCUUAGUGGAGCACCUAGACCACCCAGCUAGGAACCAUACACAGUUGAAAGCGUUAUUCGGUGUUUAUUUUAGUUGGGAGUUUUCUCCUCUCAAUAAAUCGUCCUGACAGUAGUGUCAAUUUUUUGAAAGAUUAAUACUCUAAUUUUUGUUAUGUUCCUCUUAUAAGUAAGAGAACUCGAUUUUAUUCUUUGUUCGCCAUCUCGGCUUUGUUGAAAUAAAUUCCAACGCCGGUAUAAUGGUUUCAAGAAUAUUCCAGUUACAACUUAUUUUCUUAAUAAUCAUGUGAAUAAGUCAUUCCUUCUUUGCCCCAUCUCGGCUUAGUUAGAAUAAAUUCUAACGCCGGUAUAAUGGUAUCGAAGUAAUUACCUAUUACAUAAUUAUUAAGUACCUUUGAAUACCAUCUCGAUUUUUGUGGAAUAAAUUCCAACAUCGGUUUAAUGGUAUUCUAAUAUAUAAAAGUGAUGAAUAGUUAGUUGUUAGAUGCAAAUAAAUAAAUAAAGAAAAAAAGAAUAAUAAAUUUAGUGACCUUUAUUUAUUUACUCCAUUUCUGGUUCAUUUUAUUAACAAACCAAACUUAUUCCUUAAGGAAGGUUGGUAUUAAAGAAUAAAUAAAAUGCGGAAAAUAAAUAACAAUAAAUAAAAGUUAGUAAGUUAGUUUCAUCACUUUUGUAUAUUAAAAGGUGUUUUCAACAAAUAAAUUUAUUGAUAACACUUUACUAUNAAUAAUAAUAAAUUUAGUGACCUUUAUUUAUUUACCCCCUUUCGGGUUUAUUUUAUUUAACAAAACAAACUUCUUCCUUAAGGANNNNNNNNNNNNNNNNNNNNNNNNNNNNNNNNNNNNNNNNNNNNNNNNNNNNNNNNNNNNNNNNNNNNNNNNNNNNNNNNNNNNNNNNNNNNNNNNNNNNGGAAUUGCCUAAUAAAAUGAAUCAUAUAAAUAUGUCAAUGCACAAAUAAUGGAGUUGAACAUAUUUUGAUGAUUUUGAAUUGAAGUGAAUAUAAACAUAAAACUGAAUAUUAACAAAUUCUUGAGGAGACAAAAUCUUUUUGAAUAAGGAAAAUAUAUUUCUCAUCUUCUUUUGAGUUUGAACUACUUAGAGAAUUUCUUAUGUUUUACUUUGGUUAACCCCAAACACCAAGGUCUGAAAUCCUCCUUUUAGUGUAUAUCCUAAAAUGGUAGAAUGAUGAACACUUAUAUUUAUUACUUAAACAAUACUAUGGCCAUAAAAGAGAUUAGGUUGUCAUUCCCUAACCAUUGGCGACUCUAAUAUUGAAUGAGUGAUGAAUGUAAGAUCUUAAGAAAAGCAUGCUUAACUUGGCAAAUAAACUAAGUAUUACAACUACUUCUUAGUUUAUUUGUUAAGUGUUUGAGACAAGUAAUUUUAUUGACUUGAAAUCAUUUUUUAGGUGAUCAAUCUAAAAAGAGCAUUAAGUACUUCUCAAACAAAUAUUAUUAACCAAAGCACCAACUUGAAUGAUUAAAAUCCAAACUUUUGUAAAUUAAGAAGAAGUAGAAAUUACAUAACCUUGUUCAAAAGAAAAUGUUUAUGAGCAUGAGCCAUCCAUCCAAGGAUUGGAUGCUUUUGAGUUCCAAAUGAGAGUAACAAAUUGAUUUUUGCAUCUCAUUUGCCUUCUCCUUUUCUCCUCUUGAAUUCUAUGAAAAACUACUCUAAAACUAGCCUAAAAACUACCUAAAAUGAAAGGAAAAGAAGAGGAAUCAACUAAGAAGAAUUUAGAAUGAAUUUAUAAUCUUUUACAAAUGAGAAUUUCGUGCCUUUUUAUAGGCCAAAGGGCUGGAUGCUCAGUUGCCUUGUUUGGCAACUAAGUUGCUCACCUUUGGCCCCUAUGAAGAGCCACUUUGGCCCCUACUUGACCCCUAUGGUGGGCUAGUUUACAUGCAUGGUGGCACGUCCUCCUUCUUGUCAUAGCCUUAUGUCAUCCAUGAGGUCAUGUUCUUGGCCUUUAAGCAAAGAAAAAGUAAGAUGUUCCAUGAUUUGACCAAAAAAUCACUUUUCUGGUGCGCCAGCCGCUUAGCCCACCUGUUUCCCUGCUAAGCUGCAUGUUUCAGCCGCUUGGCUGACCUGGUUCCCCGCUCAGCUGCAUGUUUCAGCCGCUCAGCUGACUGGUUCUACGCUGAACUGCCUGUUUCAGCAGCUUAGUUGACCUGGCCUGGUGCUUGGUGCUGGCUGACCUGGCCUGGUGCUUGGUGCCUAGCAGACCUGGCCUGGUGCUUGGUGCAUGGCUGACCUGGCCUAGUGCUUGGUGCCUGGCUGACCUGGCAUGGUGCUUGGUGCUUGGCUUGGCUGGACAGCUUUGUGCUUGAUUUCUUCAUGGUGAAGCAACCUUUUUUCCUUUGGUUUGUUACUUGAUUUUUGUUGGUUGCUUGGCACUUUUGGGCUGUUUUCUUUAAGUUAAGGUAAGCAUUUGAUUUUUGCAAGUUGCUUGGCCUACCUUAACAUAGGUUUCUUCAAGACGAAGUAAGCUACCUUUCUUCAAGGCUAAGUAACCAAAUUAAGCACAUAGCAUGCCAUGCUUUAACUUGAUUACUUUUAGCAAUUCAUUUUGAGCUUUUGUCUUGAAUUUUGGCUUGAAUUCUUAUCCAUCUUUGAAUUUAUUCUUUAAUAUUCAAUUUCCUACAACUCAAAGAAAACUUGGACAAGAAUUAAUAAAGAACCAAUUUAUUUAAUCAUGCAAAAUUCACCUAAAAAGUGUUAGUUUAAGUUGGUUUUCUACAAUUUGCAUAGGAUAAGUGCCAUAAAAUGAUGGUGAAAAGUGUAUACUUUUGGCACUUAUCACACACCUGACUAGAUCAACAAGCAAUAAGCCACAUCACCAUCAGCACAGUGAAAUAACACAUAACUUGUAAUGUUUUUAAAAUCAAUUGAGUAUAGAAAUAAUUCCAUAUUUCCAACCAAUUUUCUCCUCAAGAAUUUGUGCAUAUUAGUUGUUUAUGUUUAUAUUUGCUUGUUAAUAUUUCAUGAACAAAAUCAAAUCAAAAAGAUGAUUAAACUUUAUUAGUUAUAUAACAUGUUUAUAAUAAUGAUCUAUUAGGCAAUUCAUUGUGGUUCGACAUAACCAUUUACUAUGCUACAAUUGAAUCUGGAAAGAGAUGCAAAUGUAAAAUACUAAAGUGUUUACUUAUAAAUUUUAUUUGUUGACAAAGAAAUAAACCUUGAAUCAAAGUGCAAUUUAAUCCAUAAAUUGUAUCUUUGUGAAAAUGAUAAAUACAUAGUCAUAAUGAAUGACCCAACUACUAACUUUUACUCUCUCUCAUUUAUUUUCUGCAACUAACAUUUAUUUUCUAUCAUUUAAAUUAUGUAACUAACAUUUAUUUAUUGUUUUAUUUAUUUAUUCUUUACCAACCUUCCAUACGGAAUUAGUUUGGUUAAUAAAGGAAAACAAAAAUAAAUAUUACUCAUUAACCCUUGUAUUAAAUUGCUAAAUUCAUACCAUUAUACUGGCGUUGAAAUUAAUCCAACAAAGUCGAGAUGAUAUGAAAUUGUUAAUAAUUCAAUAAAGCUAAGUGUUUGAUUAAAGGAACAUUCUUGAAACCAUUAUAUCGGCGUUGGAAUUUAUUCUAACAAAGCCGAUAUGGCGAGCAAAGAAUCGACUUGUCCUUAAAUAAAUUAAUAAGAAACUUACCUCAAUAACUAGAAAGAAAACUCUUUCAACAAAUUGGCGUCGUUGCUGCGGAAUUGCCAAAUAAUAGAAAUUAUUAUUUACUAUGCUAUAUUAUUAAUAAUCUUGUACAAUAGUAUUUUUAUUUACUUUUUUCACAAAUUAAUUUGAAUUUGUAUAAAAAUUUAAAUUACAAACUUUGUAAAUUCAUGUCUUUUUCUUAUUAAUCUUUCUUCAUAAAUAGACAGAUUUCCUUUUUAUUGUUUUUUUUCAGAAAAAUGGAUCAACAUAUCAACAUCCAAAUUGAAAUAGACACUUUCGUAAAGGAUUUUCAACAUAAGCUCAACAAAGUACACCAAAAGUUACAACAAUUACCAAAAUAGUUCGAGAAAGAACAACACUUUUGAUGUCAUGGUUGUGCCAAUUAACAGUCUGUCUGUUUCAUCAAUACCCACUCAACAUCUCACUAGUCUCAAAAGAAACUAGAGGAAAUACUAGAACAAUUCAUGUAGACAACUAUCAAGCAUCAACAAAUCACAUACGAUGCUAUUAAGAAUACGGGGAAUCAAAUCAGAUGCAUAGUUGAACAUCAUUCAACUAUUUCAGAGCAUUGAAUAGGUAUCAAAAUCAGAAGUGGAAAACGGUGGGAGGAGUUAUUGGAAAAAAAGGAAAAGAAAAAGAAGAAGAAAAAUAAAAAGAAAAAGAAAAAAAUGAAAAGAUGUACAUAAAAAAAUAGAUGUACCAGAAACUAGCGGGGAACAAAAGGAAGACAAACAAUACCCACUAGUUCAGGAAAAAUACCCUACCCCACAACCCCAUCAAAAGCAAAGAAGGAAGAGGAGUUUGCUUGUUUUAUGGAAAUAUUCAAAUCAUUACAAAUCAAUAUUUCAUUUUUUGAAGCCAUGGAACAAAUGCCUAUGUAUUCCAACUUCAUGAAAGAACUGCUAUCAAAGAAGAGGAGCCAUAAGGAGAAAGAAGUUAUCCAACUUAAGGCAACUUGAAGUGCAAUCCUUCAGACUAACAUCCCUCAUAAGCUAAAAGAUCUAGGAAGCGUGACUAUUCUAGUCACAAUUGGGGAAGUUUUCAUAGGCAAAGCACUUGUUGAUCUCAAUUCAAGUGUUAGUCUAAUGCCACUUUUAAUGAUGAGGAGAAUAGGAGGGUUGCAACUAAAACCAACCAGAAUGUUUCUGCAACUAGCUAACAGAUCCAUUAAAUAUCCGGAAGGAGUUGUAGAAGAUGUGUUGGUAAGAGUGGAUAAAUUUCUAAUUCCUGUAGACUUUGUUGUAAUUGACAUCUCCGAAGAUGUGGAAAUCCUACUCAUUCUAGGACGUCCAUUCAUGAGAACAGAAAAAUGGGGAUAGACAUAGAAAAUGGGAAACUAAUAGUUCGAGUAGAAAAUGAUGAAAUUCAAUUUGAGAUUUUCAAAGUAAUGUAUCACCCAAGAGAUAAGGGAAAUUUGUUCCAUAUCGAUAUUCUUGAAGAAAUCUGCUCAGAACAGCCUCAACCUGAUAACUCUUAAGAGAUGCAAGAACUCAAUCUGGAGGAUGGAAAGAAAAAUUGAUCAUAAAUUUUUUGAUAAUCAAUUUUCUCCUAAAAUGAACCAAGGUGGAGAUGACAAAAAAAAACAAGAACUUGACUUGAAGGAGUUACUUUCACAUUUAAAGUAUUUGUUUUUAAAAGGUAACUCCAACAAACCAGUUAUCAUCAACAACUUGUUUUCCACCUUGGAAGAAAGUAGAUAGAUACAAGUCUUGGAGAAGCACCAACAUGCGAUUGGUUGGACUUUGAAUUAUUUAAAAGGAAUCAGUCUUUCUUACUGCAUGCACAAAAUCAUGAUGGAGGAUGAUUUCAAACCAGUAGCUCAACCACAAAGGAGGCUCAAUGAAAGAAGUUGUUCGAAAGGAAGUGGUGAAAAUGAUAGAAGUUGGAAUGAUUUACCCCAUUUCAUACAUCAAAUGGAUAAGUCCUAUUCAAGUGGUGCCGAAAAAAUGAGGAAUAACGGUACUCUGAAAUGACAAUAACGACCUCAUUCCAACCAGAGUUGUUGCUGGUUGGAGGGUAUGUAUGGAUUAUCGCAAACUCAAUGCGGCCACCAAAAAAGACCACUUCCCCUACCCUUCAUGGAUCAGAUGCUGGAAAGAUUAUCAUGGCGGGCCUUCUAUUAUUUCCUAGAUUGUUAUUCGGGAUACAACCAAAUUGUUAUGGAUCCACAAGAUCAAGAAAAGACGACAUUUACUUGUCCUUUUGGUGUCUAAACAUACAGAAAGAUGUCAUUUGGAUUAUUCAAUGCUCCAGCUACUUUUCAAAGAUGCAUGCUGGCUAUUUUUGUCGACUUGGUGGACAAAUGCAUUGAGGUCAUCAUGGAUGAUUUUUCAAUAUUUGGAGAUUCUUUCGAUUUAUGCCUUCAGAACCUAGAGAUAGUAUUGGAAAGAUGUGUUGAGACCAACCUGGUACUAAAUUGGGAAAAAUGCCAUUUCAUGGUCACCAAAGGCGUUGUUUUGGGGCACAAGAUUGAAGAAAAGGGGUUGAAGUUGAUAAGACAAAAGUAGAAGUCAUAGAGAAGCUUCCACCACCAACAAAUGUUAAAGGCAUUAGAAGCUUUCUAGGACAUGCUGGAUUCUACUGCUGCUUUAUCAAAGACUUCUCCAAAACAACUAAGCCCCUUUGCAAUCUUCUCCUUAAAGGUUCUUCUUUUAAUUUUGAUAAAUCUUGUUUAGAAGCAUUCAAAACUUUGAAAAAUUGCUUGGUAACCGCCCCUAUCAUAAUUGCACCAAACUGGGAUCUACAUUUUGAACUAAUGUGUGACACUAGUGAUUACGCAGUUGGUGCAUUUUUGAGACAGAGGAGGGAGAAGGUGUUCCAUGCAAUACAUUAUGCUAGCAAAGUUUUAAACAAGGCUCAAGUUAACUACGCUGCAACAAAAAAAGAAUUGCUAGUUAUCGUAUUCGCAUCGGAAAAAUUUAGAUGUUAUUUGAUUGGGGCCAAAAUUAUUGUUUUUACUAAUCAUGCUGCAAUCAAAUACCUCCUAAAGAAAUCCGAUUCCAAGCCACGAUUAAUAUGAUGGGUGCUACUUUUACAGGAAUUUAACUUGGAAAUCCGUGACAAAAGCAGGAAAGAUAAUCUUGUGGCCGAUCAUUUGUCACGAUUAAUCAAUGAAGAAGUCACAGAAUGAGAGAGAGAAAUAGCUUAAGCAUUUUCAAAUGAAAAGCUAUUUCUCCUUCAAUAAAGACCAUGGUUUGCUGAUAUAACUAACUACAAAGCCUCAGGAAUUAUUCCUGAUCAUUUCAACUAUCAUCAAAAGAGGAAAUUUCUCAAGGAGGUCAAUCAUUACGUCUGGGACGAGCCAUACUUAUUCAAAGAUGGAACUGAUAACAUAAUUCGAAGGUGUGUUGAUUCGAAGGAGGCUCAUAAAAUUUUAUGGCAUUGCCAUAAUUCUACUUAUGGAGGACACUACAAUGGAGAAAGAACUGCUGCGAAAGUACUCCAGUCUAGUUUUUUCUGGCCCUCUAUUUUUAAAGAUGCCAAAAAUUUUGUUCAAAAAUGUGAUGCAUGCCAAAGAAAUGGCUGAAUUGGAAAAAGAAAUGAAAUGUCGUUGCAAAAUAUUUUGGAAAUAGAAAUUUUUGAUUGUUGGGGCAUUGAUUUUAUGGGUCAUUUCCCAUCAUCGUUUUUGAAUGAAUAUAUCUUGGUAGAUGUUGAUUAUGUUUCUUGAUGGGUAGAAGCAUUAGCAACACCAAAAGCGGAUGGAAUAACAUUUAUAAAAUUUUUGAAAAAGAAUAUUUUUACCAGCUUUGGAACACUAAGAGUACUCAUAAGUGAUGGAGGUUCUCAUUUUGUAAACACCCAAUUACGCAAGGUUUUGGAAUUUUAUAAUGUUAAGCAUAAGGUAGAAUCACCUUAUCACCCAUAAACCAAUGGGCAAGCUAAAGUAUCCAACAGAGAAUUGAAAAGAAUUUUAGAAAAGACAGUCUCUUCCUCAAGGAAAGAUUGAUCACAAAAUUUGGAUGAUACUUUAUGGGCAUAUAGAACUGCAUUUAAGUCACCAAUAGGCCAAACUCCAUACCAACUAGUUUACGACAAAACUUCUCAUUUACCAGUUGAAUUGGAGCAUAAAGCCUAUUUGGCACUUAAUUUUUUAAAUUUUGAUUUGAAUGAUGCAGGAAUAAAAUGAAAGAAUCAAUUACACCAAUUAGAGGAAGUGAGGUUCCAAGCUUAUGAAUCUUCAAGAUUGUAUAAAGAAAAGGCUAAAAAGUACCAUGACUCCAAAAUUCGAAGAAAAGAUUUCUAUAAAGGUCAAAAGGUACUCUUGUUUAAUUCAAGAUUAAAAUUGCUUCCAGGAAAAUUCAAGAGCAAAUGGUCAGGGCCAUUUGUGAUAAAAGAUGUUAAAGAAUAUGGAGCAGCUGAAUUGGAAGAUCCAAAGUCUCAAACAAAUUGGACAGUGAAUGGGCAUAGGUUAAAACUCUACUUGGGUGAUGAAUCAGGCUGCAUCAUUGAAAUUGCAUCAGAAUGACCUCUACAGUUGACAUAGGCAUCAAGCUAUUGACGUGAAACGAGCACUUGCUGGGAGGCAACCCAAUAGUUGGUUAGUUCGUGAAUUUCUUUUUAAUUUAUGGUAUGUUUUGUGUUAAAUUAAAGUUUAUGUUUAGAAGUAAUAUGUUAUUCUUUAGAAAAUUUCAUAUGCAUCAAACAUCUCCUUCAAACCAAAAUUUCCGUUGGCUUGAGGACAAGCCACCAUUUAAAAAGGGGGAACAUGGUUUAAUGCAUAUGAAUUUUUUUAAAGAAAGUUAAUAGUAUAUAUAAUAUUGUAUAGUUAUUUCAAAAGUAAUUUAGUUGUCCAUAAAACUCAAAAAUAAUUUCAAAACCGAAAUCAAGUUGGCUAAAUAAAUAAAAUAUUUGUGGCAUGAUUACAUGAUUAGAAAUUUCUAAAGAUAUCUUGACUUAUAUACUAAACUUUUUGUGAAAACAUCACAUAAUAUCAUAACUUGAAAAUUGUUUUGCAAAUGGAAAUUAAAUUUGUGUAACAUGAUCUUUGCAAACACUUUUUAAAUCAAGAAGUGUAAAUCUAACCCAAGUGAGGGAGUGAGCCAAACACGUGAGGGUAAAAGUUAAAUCACCAUUUGAUUUGUCUAAUUCAACUUGUUUGAGUCUUUAAAUCUCUCCAUUGCAUAAGAUUGAUAGGAAGUGAUUAAGGCAUGUUAUUUCUUUAGUUGAACCAAAUGGCCAAAAUGUCUAACCAAAAAUUACGAUUAUCCUUUGAUAACCCCCUUUUGAGCCAAACAAAGUAAAACAUUUUUAAAAAAUUAUCCCAUGAAAACCGAAAUUGAAAACAGUAUUCUAAAACAGAGCAUAAAUUAUCCCAUGCUUUAGGAUUGAGUGCAUUUCAUGUUAUAAUUUCUCAUGUUUUCCCUCACAUGUUCAUGCAUAUUUUGAUGCUUUUUCAUGAAGUUUUAUGAUUAUGUAACUUCUGUUUUCAUAACCAAUACUUGUCAUUUCACAUGAGUUUGUGUUAGAUGUGCAUUAGAGUAAAGCCUUCUUGUUAUAUUUGAGCUUAGAAAUAGCUUUAUUUUACUCUUGUAAUUGUUGUAUAAUUGUUGUAAAGGGAAUCUCGUGGUGUCUUAUCACCGUUAGAGAUUGAGUGUUUCUUCAUUGCUUAGAGUGUAAGAAAAGGAAAGAACGAGAGAUUCUUUGGCUGGGGCUACGCCGAAAGAAACGUUUUCUUUAUCGGUAGGAAGGGAGUCAAAAUCGAUUAAUUUGUAUAUUGGAUUCAAUUGAUACAUUCUGUUCAUUUGCUGUACUGGAUGCUAUUCUGAUAUACAAUCUGUAAGCUCUGUAUUCGUUCCGUUAUCGGUUAACUGUUCUGCAAUUAAUCAUUUUUUGUAAUAACUUACUGUUUGUGUUUAAUCGAUUAAAAUUGUUGUGUUAAUCGAUUAUCCUGUUUCUGUUAAUCGAUUAAAAUGGUUUCUGUUAAUUGAUUAAAACUGUUUUUUGUUAAUCGAUUAAGAUUGUGCAAUUAAUCGAUUAUCUUCUUUCAUUAAUCGAUUAUCUUAGGGGUGUUUCAGCAUAUAUUGUUGAGUUGUAAAAAGCGGCUAUUCUAACCGCGACACCUAUUCAACCCCCCUUCUAGGUGUAUUAUAACCACUGAUACCUAACACAUGAAUCUUUGCUCUUAUUUUCUUCAUUUUUUUUCCUACAAAAUAUAUAAAAAGGCAAUACCAAAACAAAUAUACCAAAUUGUGAUAUUUUAUAAAAAAAAGUAUUGUUUUAAGUUGGUUUUUCUCAAUUAUGCUUAAGAUAAGUGCCAUAAAAGUGUAUGAUUUUUAGGUAUGUUUGGCACUAAUCAAAGCUCAUGCAAGAAAACUCAAAGACACAUCAACAUAGAUUUGAAACUUUUUAGCAUAGUGAAUAUUUGAUUCUCCCUCUCUCAGAUAUUUUUCGGUUCUUGCUUAAUGAAAGUGAAAAAACUGUUUUAAAAACAGAAUGGAUUUUGCUUCAAAAUAACAGAAUUAGCUCAUAACUUAUAUAACAGAUGUUAAUCGAUUAAAUGGCCACGUUAAUCGGUUAACGGGUUCUUUAAAAACAGGUUUUCAGUUAUGACUUAAUCGAUUAAAAUUCUGCUUAAUCGAUUAACAAGCAGAAAUCCUAGGAGGUCACAUUUUGUAACUCCAUUUAAUCAAUUAUGACUUUCCUUAAUUGAUUAAGGAUUUCUUCCAGGAUUUAAUCGCAUACCAACUGGGUUAAUCGAAUAAAAACACUUAAAAAUGGUUUUUCUUUUUAUGCGGUAAAUACCUUAUAUGAUGAAUGAACAUGCAACAUGAUUGUUAGAAAGAAUAAAGCCUUUAAGUAAAAAAUCAUGAAUGUAUGUAUGCAAAUGCAUGAGUGUCAUUUAUCAUAUAUAUGUAUGAUGAUGUUAUGCCUCAUUCUAUAUAAUUUUCCAUUUUAGACUUUUUUGUGAGACACUUUCAUCUUGGGUUUACCAAACCUAAGACUCAAUACUAGGCAAUCAACUUAGAACUCUAGAAUAUAAAAAGCAAUCCUAGACUCUAUGAUAUUGCCUUUGAGUUCUUGGCGUGUUGUUUGUUGAGAUAUCCAAGUCUUCAAGCUUUCAUAUUAUACUGUGUCUUCAUCAAAACUUUGUAGAUCAGUUAUAAUGGCAUCCUUUUUCUAUUUUCCAUUUAAAUCUCCCCCUUUUUGAUGAUGAAAAACACAUAAAUAUAUCCUUUGUUUGGUGACUUGAAGCUGGACAGAAUUUGUUUGCAUAUGGUUGAAUCAGAAUGCGCUGCUCCCCUCACUUUGUUCUCCCCCUCAAACCAUGUAAGAGGUAAUGCUAGGGUGGCAACAUGAAUACUUUGCGGAAGCUCAUUUGAACCUGCAAAACAGCUCAAACAACACAUUUCUCCCCCUUUUGGCAUGGUCAAACAGCUAUGGCAGAUUAUGAUACGUAAAAGCCAAAACUAAGUAAUGAUAUAUAUUGUUUACUAGUCUUAAUCGAUUAAAUAAUCAAGGAUAAUCAAUUAAGCAGUCUAUGAAAAAAUGUACAAGUGCACAUAGUUUUGAUUUAAUUGAUUAUAGAGUGUAGUUAAUUGAUUAUGUAUGAAUAAAAAUAGAUUAUGACAGCAUUGGUUGCGAGAAUUAUCUAGUCGUAUAAUUUCAACAUGAAUUUCAUAGAAUGAUCAAUGAACAGAUAGAAAAAUAUUCAGAGCAGAUUAAUCAUCCAACGGUAUAUAUAAACAUUUAGCUAACACCAAAUGUUAACGCAAGCAAUUUAAACAUAACCCUAAUUAGAAGCAAGUUUUACAAAAUGUGCGAAUAAGUGCAAAUGAGUACAUAGUUCAGCAAUAAGAUCAACAAUAUACAACCAAAAGAUUAUCAAAACACCAAAACAUAAUCUCUAAAGAAGAGCACAUCCACACCCUAGACACACUAGACAUUCCUAUCUAGGGUAAUCUUGUGUAGGUGGUGGUUGGGGUGAGCCAUGUGGAGCACGUGCAACUAACAUGACAAGUUCAAGCUCUUCAGAAAGUCGCUGCUACUACUGCUGAAACUCAGCUGCCAUGGAAUCCCUCAUGGUCUGAAAGUGUCCAUCAAUACGCGCAUUGAGGCGUUGUUCCAUAUCAUCUAGGUGAGCAAGCCCAAACGAUAGAUCUUGAGGCUCAGCAGAUGCCACUGAAGGUGGGUGCUCAGGGUUAGGCUCCCUAGGAUUUGCAGCAUUAUCUUCCUUUGGUGUAUCCCUAUUCACAGUAGCAUUAUGAUCCUCCUGAUAUUUCCAUUCAUCACCAUAUUUAUAAAGGCCCAUCUUGUGAAUCAGGUUAUCACCAACAAGAUGCUCUCAUGAAUUAGUUAUAAUAGUGUCCACGUGAGUGGUGUCAAUCUCGCAAUAAUCAUAAAUACGAGAAAUGAAUAUCCCAUAGGCGAGCAAUCUUGAUGAAGAUGAAGCUAAGCCCUGCAUAACAUUCAGUAUCUCCGAAGGCUAAUUCCCCACAAUGCCUUCCCGUAUGGCAAACAUCAGCUUGCGAUCAUUUACGGUGGGUUGAGCAUAGUUGGUAUUGCUUUAAACUAAUUUAUAUGCAAUCAGGUAAUGUAAAAUUCGGUUUUCAACAGACAAAGACCUUGCCUUGGUCAAUUCCCCUGGUACAAACAACUGAGGUCUUCUCAAGCAAGAUUUAUAAAUCUCAAUAGCAUCAAAUGAGUCUCAUGACUCAUUAUUACAAUCACCUAGUCUUGGUCCAUCAAACUCAAGACCUCCAACCUCCAAAAAUACCUUUUCCCCAUUACCAUCGAAUAAUAUUCCUCAUCCUUAUACCUAAAGUUGCUAUAUAAUUCUCUAAUCAGCGAAGGACAUGGCUUACCUCUCAAUUCCACAAAUUUAUUUACUACUUGAGUCUCUAACCCAUGCGGGAAUUGGAAGCCCUGUGAAACCAACCAUUCUGGAUCCGCGUACAGGAUGUAGGUUUGCUUAUGGCCUAGAAACUUGGCUAAUCUGGCUUCUUGAAGAAUUGGAGAGUAAUAAGGGUCUCCACGGUUUUUUCGUCCUGCUUGAGCCGAGGAAGAGCCCUUUUCUCUGCCUCUUGAAUGUUUGGCGGUACGUUUCACUCUUAUCCCUCUUGAAUCACUCAUUGUAGCAGGUAUAUCACUGGUUUUAAUCGAUUCCAUAAUCAAUUCUUGGAAAUGAGGGUUUUAGGGCUUCUAAAGAUGGAUAGGAUUCAUAUUAUUGGUGAUUUAUGGUUGAAUAUAGAUGGAACAACUAAAUUGCACUCGAAAUAGCUAUUGAUUUCUAUUGGAAUACUCCAUUUUGGGAAAAGAUUUAGAAGGGGGGGGGGGAGCAAAGAGGAUUAGGGUUCUAAGUGAAGAAUGACUCAAAAUGACACUUGAAUCUGAUAUAGCACUACCGUUAAUCGAUUAUCUACAGUGGGUUAAUCGAUUAACCAACUUAAAAUUUUCCAGAAAUUGGGGAUUUUGUUUCCCACGUAAUCGAUUAAAUUUUGACAAUAAUUGAUUAAUCAGUGAUAAUUUUCAAAUUUUCAAAAAUAUUGAGCCCAUGCAAUCGAUUAACCAGACUGUUAAUCGAUUAAAUUGCAAGAUGAAAAUUUUUUUUGGCUACUAGAACUCAAAUUAAUCGAUUAAGGCUCAGAAACAAUUGAUUAUUGAUAGAACUUAUCACAGAUUUCAGUGCAUUUUAUAGAUUUCUAGAGUAUGCUUAGAGGUGUAAUGCUAAGACACAAACCUAACGGGUUUCGACACACUAAUAGAGCAUAAAAACAUUCAUGAAUAUCAUCUAAACAAGAAAACAUGCAUUCAUAACACAUAUCAUUCAUAAGCAUAUAAUCAUGAUCAAGCAAAGGCACAUAAUUACUCUAGGAAAAUUAGUUUAAAUAUAUUUCAUCAAGUAUGCCAAGUUCUCGACCUAACACAUAUAAAGUAUCCUAUGGAAGGGGCUUGGUGAAAAUAUGUGCUAAUUGCUUCGCGGUUUCAACAAAUUCAAGAAUACAGUCACCUUUCUAAACAUGAUCUCUUAGAAAAUGAUAUCUAAUCUCUAUAUUCUUAGUUCUAGAAUGCAGAAUUGGGUUUUUUGAUAGAUAUAUGGCAAUAGUAUUAUCACAUUUUAUAGGAAUUUUUACUAGUUUUAAACCAAAGUUUGAUAGUUUCUACUUCAUCCAUAGGAUUUGAGCGCAACACACGCCUACGGCAAUAUAUUCGGCUUCAACGAUAGACAAAGCAAAACAAACUUGAUUUUUACUAUGCCAUGAUACUAGGGAGCUGCCUAAAAGGUGGCAAGUCCCGCUAGUAAUUUUCCGGUCUAACUUGCAUCCCUUAAAGUCAGAAUCAGAAUAACCUAUUAGGGAUAACGAAGCAUCCCUAGGGUACCAUAAACCCAUAGAUGUUGUUCCUUUAAGAUAUUUCAAAACACGUUUUACCGCACUAUAAUAAGAUUCCUUAGGUGAAGCUUGGUAUCUAGCACACAUACAUACACUAAACAUUAUAUCGGGUUGGCUAACAGUUAGAUACAAUAAAUAACCAAUAAUUCCACAAUAUUUUGUUACCUCAUUUGCUUUUCCUUUUUCGUCUUUGUCGAGAUAGCAGGAUGAUGUCAUGGGUGUCGUUGCUUCCUUACACUUAUCCAUCUCGAAUCUAUGCAAGAUUUCCUUGCAAUACUUGGUAUGGUGUAUGAAUAUCCUGCUAUUCGUUUGUUUUAUUUGCAACACAAGAAAGAAUGUCAGCUCGCCUAUCAUCGACAUUUCAAACUCUCCUUUUAGAAUGUCAGAAAAUUCCUUACACAACAAGUCGUUAAUAGCACCAAAUAUAAUGUCACCUACAUAAAUCUGUACUAAUAACACAUUAUUUUCUGAUUUUCGAAUAAAGAGUCUUGUAUCAACUUUGCCUCUUUCAAAUCCCUUUUCUAAUAAGAAACAUCUCAAUCUAUCAUACCAGGCUCUAUGAGCCUGUUUUAAGCCAUAUAAAGCCUUUUUGAGCUUAUACACAUGAUUAGGGAAUUUAUGAUUUUCAAAAUCGGGCGGUUGAUUUACGUACACUUCUUCUUGAAUAUAUCUAUUCAAUAACACACUGUUUACAUCCAUUUGAAAGAGCUUGAAGUUCAUUAUCGAUGCAAAGGCUAGAAACAUUCGUAUAGCCUCCAAUCUCACAACAGGGGCGUAGGUUUCAUCAUAGUCAAUGCCUUCUUCUUGAUUAUACCGUUGGCAACCAAACGUGCCUUAUUACGUAUAACCAAAGCAGACUCAUCUAGUUUAUUUUUAAAGACCCAUUUUGUGCCUAUUACGGGAUGAUCUUUCGGUUUAGGGACCAAGUCCCAUACGUUAUUGUUCUUGAACUGGUUUAGCUCUUCUUGCAUAGUUAUUCCCUAGUGUUCAUCCUCUAAGGCCUCAUAUGGUGUUAGUCUCAACCUGAGAUACAAAUGCUACAAAAUUAAAAAACUUUCUAAGUGAGUUUCGGGUUACCACUCCCAAUGAGAUAUCACCUAUAACCUUGUUGAGUGAAUGAUCCUUCUUUGUCUUCCACACUAUAGGCAUUUCUUGAUGAUCUACAUUUAUCUCCUAUUCAUCCUGAACCGCGUUAUCAUUCUCCAUGUUCUUUGUGUAUGCGUUUUCCAGUGCACCUAAAACAUCAUCGUACACAACCUUCCUCUUCUCUUUUGGAAAAGAUUCAUCAAAUUUUACAUGGAUAGAAUUUUCAAUUUGCAUAGUAUAUUUAUUAUAGACUCGAUAUGCUUUACUAUGUAUGGAAUACCCCAGAAAAAUUCUCUCAUAUGCUUUUGAAUCAAAUUUUCCUAAUAAUCUUUUACCAUUAUUUAAUCUGAAACAUUUACAUCCAAAAGCAUGCAAGUAAUAAAUAUUGGGUUUUCGGCCUUUUAACAAUUCAUAUGGCGUAUUUAAGAGUGUAGGCCUAACUAGUACUCGAUUGAUUACAUAGCCAGAAGUAUGCACCACAUCGGCCCAGAAAAAUUUGAGGACCUUGCUUUCAUUCAGCAUUGUCAUAGCUAGCUCAUCUAAAACUCGAUUUUUUCACUCAAAAACUCCAUUUUGUUGAGGGAUUCGAGGAGCCGAGAACUGAUGUAGGAUCCCAUGCUUUUCGCAAAACUUAUUAAAUAGGUGGUUUUCAAAUUAUCCACCAUGAUCGCUGCGAAAAUAGCCAAUUUUAUGGUCAAAUUGGUUUUGAAGCUAUUUUCCCAAAAUUUUAAAAGACUUGAAAGCAUCAGUUUUUAGAGCGAGAAACAAAGUCCUUGUAUACCUAGAGUAAUCAUCAACAAUUACAAGUGCAUAGUAGCUACCACCAAAGCUCAUUAUUUGUGAUGAUCUAAAUAAAUACAUAUGGAGUAACUCCAAGGGUCUAGUUGUGGAUAUCACAUUCUUAGUUGAAAACGAACUUUUCACUUGUUUACACUUUUGACAAGUGUCACAAGAAUCUUUUGAUUUGAAAUCAAGCUUUGGUAAUCCUACUACUAAAUCAUGUGAUGAUAACUUAGCUAGAUGUUUUAGAUGGACAUGCGCUACUCGUCUAUGCUACAACCAGAUGUCACUCUCUUUAGUGAUAAAACAAUUUGAAAACAGAGUGGUGACAUCAUCCAAGUUGAUCAUAUAAAUGUUAUUUAUUCGUUGCCCUAUAAACUUAACAUUAUUAUUUACCCCAUCACAAAUGAUGCAAUAGUUUGAGUCAAAAGAUACAUUGUUUCCUUUAUCGCACAUCUAGCUAAUGCUUAGCAGAUUGUGCGCUAGUCCUUCGACGUAUUGCAUGUUUUCUAUUACGACUUGUGAAGCAUUUCCAAUUCUCCCAACUCCUAGUAUCUUUCCUUUGUUGUUAUCUCCAAACGUGACAUAAACUUUACCGUUUAGUGAGAGAUCCAGGAACUUCGAUCUGUCACCUAUUAUAUGCCUUGAACAUCCACUAUCUAAGUACCAGUGUUGUCCCUAAGUUCUAAGGCAUACCUGCAAAGCAGUUUUACUUGCAUUGAUUAGGUACCCAAGUUAUAUUGGGUCCUUUCUUUUUAGUAAUCAAGGACUCUUGCCCUUUUCGUAUCCACAUAUAUUUACCACUAGGUAUUUCAUAUUUCCUAAUAGAACAUGAUAUAGUUGUGUGACCAUGUUUACCACAAUAAAAACAAGUAGGCAAUCUUUGAUUAUUCCUAUUAUGCAUGUAAUCUACUUGUGUCCUAUAUGGUCUUCCAUUUUUCUUUGGCUUAUAGCCAAGACCUCCAUGAUAACCUACAUUUCUAGAUGUAGCAAGUAGGUUGUUCAGGUUAUAACUACUAUAUGUGGAUUUUGCCAAUUUAUCUUUCAAAUCAUAAAUUUCAGAAUUUAAGACAUCACAAUUAUCACAUAUAGGGGGUUCAAUUAAUUUAGUGGCGCAACUACAUGAGGCAGAUGAGUAGAUGAGAUCUAGAGUUUCAUUUUCUAGUUUCAAUUUAUUUAAUUUCUCUUGCAUAUUAGUUAUUUUACUUUCAUGCAACAAAAUGACUCGUUUUCUAUCUACCUUUAUUUUUUCCAGUUUCUUAAGUUCCUCAUGCAACUCGAAAAAUGCACUAUAUAAUUCAUCGUAUAUGGGAGAGUCAUCUAAACACGAAGAAGAGUCAGAGAAAUGUACUUCACUCAUCCGGAUCGCUUGUGCUUCCAAUUUCAUGAGUGUUAGCCAUUAAGAACAAUUUGGCGGUUUCAUCUUCAUUGGAUGUGCUACUCUUCGUCUUGUCCUCCGAAAUAUACCAAACAAUGUAAGCCUUUUUGGAUUUGAAGUCUCGGGAGUUGCUUUUAUCGUGUUAAACCUUCUUGAGGUGACUCAGGCAUUUGUAUUGCAUAUGGCCCGGUUUGCCACACUCAUGGCAUAUGAGGCAAUCUUUGGGAGUUUUGCCAAGUCUGGUUAAUCGGUUGCCUCCUUCUUUUGGAAUCGCUUAAAUCCUCCUUUCCUCUUGAGAAACUUGCCAAACUUUCUGACUUAUCCUUGUGAAGAUAUAGCUUUCAUAGAGAUGCCCUUUUUUCGGUCUGAAUCUUCAUGCAUUGUUAAGCGGCUCAGCUCCAAUUCGUUUUCAUGGAGCUUGCCAAAGAGAGUUGCUAGUGGCAUAGUGUCUAAGUCCUUUGACUCCAUAAUUGUUAUUACCUUGGGCUUCCAUUUCCUAUCAAGACAACGCAACACUUUGUUAGUAAGUUCACCAAUAGAAAAAGUCUUAUCUAAAGUAAUUCAAUGAUUUAUUAUGAGUGAAUUGUUUUUGCAUUUCACUUAUCGAUUCAUUUGGAAACAUUCUAAACAAUUCGUAUUCAUAAGUCAAAGCAUUUAGUCGAGCACGCUUAACCUCACUUGUGCCUUCAUGGGUUACUUGCAAAGUAUCCCAUAUGUCCUUUGCAUUUAGGCAUUGUGACACCCGAAAGAAUCCAUCGUAAGAUAAGGCAGAGGUUAUAAUGUUCUUUGCCUUGAUAUUGUGCUAGACUUUACGUCUUUCUUCGUCAGUCCCCAACCCCAUUGGUUUUUCUUUAGGUUCACCAUCCACUAAGUGAAGUGGAGUGAAAGGUGUACCCCUCGCCAUUGAAAAUCAGAGUGUGGUUGAUGGAUGCGCCAUCACCGCCGAAGGAGUUUGUGGAACCCAUAGUGAUUAAUCAUUUGGAUCAACGAAUUAGCGGCCAAGCUAGCACUUUCAUACUAGCUCUGAUACCACUUAAUGGGUACCAAUAAGGUAUGAUUACACCUAGAGGGGGUGAAUAGGUGUCGCGGAUCACUAGUCCCACUUUUCCGAUAUUUGUGCAAAAUACAAAGCUCAUGUAGUUAAUCAAUUAUCAACAAGGUUAAUCGAUUAAAUACAUUUCAUUUAAUCAAUUAUGAUCAGAACGUUAAUCGAUUAUCCUGAUUGUUUUACUUUGAAAAUCAGUUUUCUCACUUCAUAAAAAUCAUGAUAAUUCUUGAUCUUUACUAUCCUAAGAUUGAUUCUUGACUAAUAGCAAAUUAACACAUCAUGCAAUUAAUCACAUUAAUCUAAUCAAAAUAGAAAGCAAUAAAGAUAAAAUUAUAAAAAGAUAGGAAUAGAGAAAAUGUGCUCGAGGAUUUUUAUCCUGGUUCGUUUGCAAUCCACUGGAAACUACAUCCAAGCCUCCCGGUUGAUAUGGGAGAUUUUUCUUCACUAAUCAGAAAUGUAAUGUACAACCACACUUCCAAUACAAUGAAACAAAAACUUCCUUCUUGAAAUCGAUGAGCCACAAUGCCCGGUUUGACCCCUUAUCUACGCCUACAUGAAUACCACAUCGUUCACGCAAUUUGGCCCCAACCGAAACUCUUGCUCGAGUCAAGACUUUAUAUCUAAUGAGGACUCCUAAUUCUCAACUUGUGAUGAUACCACACAUCACUAGAAUUCUUCUCAAAUUACAGAAUUUUAGCCGAGUUACUUUGCACACUAGAAUGUGCGGAUUACAACUCUAAAUACGGCUCUAAUCACCCUUGACAAAAAGAUCUCACAAACACAGCCCUAAGACCUAAUUAUGAAAUCAUGCAAGGAGUGUAUUCAAUUGAAUAAAAAAUGAUUUUGCGCAAUGAAAAUAUUUUCUCUCUAUUCUCUCUUUUCACUCUUGAAGCUAAUGCAAUAAAACUCAAAGAUAUAUGAAGAUACCUUUGAAACUUUUUAGUAUAGUGAAUCUUUGAUUCUGUCUCUCUCAGAUAUUUUUCGGUUCUUGCUUAAUGAAGGGGGAAAAUUUGUUUUAAAAACGGAAGGGAUUCUGUUUCCAAAUAACAGAAUUAGCUCAACACUGAUAUAACAAAUGUUAAUCGAUUAAAUGGCCACAUUUAUAGAUUAACAGGUUCUUUAAAAACAGGUUUUCAGUUAUGGCUUAAUCGAUUAACAAGCAGAAAUCCUGGGAGGUAACAUUCUGUAACUCCAUUUAAUCGAUUAUGACUUUCCUUAAUCGAUUAAGGAUUUCUUCUAAGAUUUGAUCGAUUACCAAUGGUUUUUCUUUUUAUGCGGUAAAUAUCCUAUAUGAUGAAUGAACAUGCAACAUGAUUUUUAGAAAGAAUAAAGCCUUUAAGCACAAAAUCAUGAAUGUAUGUAUGCAAAUGCAUGAGUGUCAUUUAUCAUAUAUAUGUAUGAUGUUAUGCCUCGUUCUAUAUGAUUUUCCAUUUUAGACUUUUUGUCAAACACCUCCAUCUGGGGUUUACCUAACCUAAGACUCAAUACUAGGCAAUCAACUUAGAAAUCUAGAAUAUAGAAAGCAAUCCUAGACUCUAUGAUGUUGACCUUGAGUUCUUGGUGUGUUGUUUGUUGAGAUGUCCAAGUCUUCAAGCUUUCACAUUAUACCUUGUCUUCAUCAAAACUUCGUUGAUCGAUUAUAAUGGCUUCCUUUAUGUCUCAUGCAACAAAGUGUGUUGCGGGCAGUUUGGCAUGGUUUUAGUCAAGGUGCGGUCGGUUAUGUCUCAUGCAACAAAGUGUCUCGUGUAGGCAUGUCCCUCAGAAAAGUGUAUGGUGUUGAGGUGCUCGUUUGGUCACACGGUGCUAGUUGGGUAGUUGUGGGCUUCCGUCCGGCUUGCCGAGGAUUCUAGGGUGUCUCGUUGUGCACGGAAGUAUGUGGUGUUUGGUGAAGCCCUUAGGGGUAGAUCCACAGCACGAAGGGGCACAAGUCCAAUCAACCCAAGGUGUGUUGUCGGCGAGUUUGCACGGUUGAAGUCAAGGUGUGGUCGUGUACGACCCGAGGAAAGACCACGGCUUGUGUAGGCUUGUCCCUUGAGAAAGCAUGGCCCGUUGACGCGUUUGUUUGGUCGCACAAUGCCGCCCAAUGCCCCAUCAAGCUUCCCCAAGCAUGCUGGUUCGCUUGUCCAUGGCAAUGUGGGCAAUCUGACCGAGUCAUCUUCCAUGUCGAAUCUCGGUCGUACGUGGCCAGGUGCAGGCUGGUCGUUCCGAAAAAUGUGUGCAUCGUCUUGAACAUAUCCGAAACCUAGCACUCAUUUGGGAUGCAUCAAGGGCUUGGCUUGUGCCUCGUGGUCUGACUCGAAAUUCUUGAUGUGUCCGUCUCACUUGUCGAGGAUCUGGUUUGGUGACUCGGUGACGGGUUGGUUAGUUGCGGGUGGCGGGCGUGCCAAGGCUUCUAGAGUGACCCUUCCUACAUGAAAGAUGUGGUGUUAGGUGAAGCCUUUAGGGGUAUAACCGCUGCAUGAUGGCGCGUAAGUCCAAUCAUCCGAAAGUGUGUUGUAGGCUGGUUUGCACAGUUGAAGUCAAGGUGUAGUCAUCUGUGAUGCUAGCAACAAUGUGUCUUGGGUAGGCUUAUCCCUCGGAAAUGUGUUGGUUGUUGAGGUGUUGGAUUGGUCACAUGGUGCCGACUUGGUAGUUACGAUAUCCCACGGGUGUUUUGAGGCUUCUAGUGUGACCAAUCUUGCACGAAAGAAUGUGGUGUUGGGUGAAGCCCUUAGGGGCACAGCUAUAGAACGAAGGGACGCAAGCCCAAUCAUCCGGAAGUAGUGUGUUUACGGCUGGUUUUCAUGGUUGAAGUCAAGGUGUGGGGGUGUAAGAGGCACACAAUAAUGUUUUGUGAUGUAGGCUUGUCCUACGGAAAUAUGUGCGCACCUCGGGAGAUAUGUGCACACCUAGGCGUAUUUGUUGCCUGUGAUACCCUUUUCGCCAAGGAAGGACAUGGUGUUAGGUGAGGCCUUAAGGGUUGAGUUGCACCGCGUAGAGGGUGAGCCUGUUCGUCGGAAGUGUGUUGUGGGAUAAAUUUUGAACCUUGGUCCCUAUCGAUUUUGGCGGUUACAUUUUCUGUUCGUGCCCGUCGUAGCGGAUCCGGCGGCACCAUGUGUUACCAUUUUAUUGAUUGCCAUUGUCAUUUCAGGGAGUGGUUCGUAUGGUACCGUCGAGUUUCCCUACGGGGAGGGCGCAUGAGUGGCAAUUGGGAUGUUUGUGCAGUCUGGCUCCAUGAUCAUGGUCAUCGAACUUUUAGCAUGCAACCCUUCCAAUGUUGGCCUUGUGUCAUUUCGGCCCUGACGUUCAAUUAGGGUUCUUGUGUUGCCUACUCGUUAAGUGGUAUUCAUGGGCUUCUUAUGACACGUUCCAUCCAUAACCCUUCUAGAAAUCAUUGGAGGAUUCGAAACUGAUGCAUGUGAUGUGUUAGUUGUGAAUUGUGAUGUGCUGCGUUCUCACACGUUUCUAGUGUUCCCUUGGAUGCGGUGCAUGCAGGGAACGUGGGCUGAUGAGUCUGCCCCGUUGAGUCCCUUUGAUUUAUCGAUUCCCUUCAAUAACAAUUUGUCAUGGUGUCGAUCUUGCUUAACCGUUUGUGGUCAAAACACUGGCAUGUGGAGCAAUAUCUUUGAUGAAUGCUACCUGGUUGAUCCUACCAGUAGUCAUAUGCUUGUCUCAAAGAUUAAGACAUUCAUGUGUUAGUAUAAACUAAUUCAUACUGUGAAAUUGCGAAUGGCUAAUUCCAUGAGUUAUAUUUUGUUUGAUGGUAUCUACUACUCAGAUAACCGUCGUAAUUCUAGAGCUACUACAUGCAACAAACCUCGACUUUUGGAAGGGAUGCAUUUAAUAGAUAAAAGGUCGACGCAGGCUCUGCCUAUUGCUUUGAUGAUUCAUGAUAACUCGUCGGAUCGCAGAACCUUUGUGCCGGUGAUGCAUCAUUCAAAUUUUUGCCCUAUCAACUUUCGAUGGUAGGAUAGUGGCCCACCAUGGUGGUGACGGGUGAUGGAGAAUUAGGGUUUGAUUCCGGAGAAGGAGCCUGAGAAACGGCUACCACAUCCAAGGAAGGCAGCAGGCGCGCAAAUUACCCAAUCCUGACACGGGGAGGUAGUGACAAUAAAUAACAAUAUCGGGUUCAUUGAGUCUGGUAAUUGGAAUGAGUACGAUCUAAAUCCCUUAACGAGAUUCAUUGGAGGGCAAGUCUGGUGCUAGCAGCUACAGUAAUUCUAGCUCCAAUAGCGUAUAUUUAAGUUAUUGUAGUUAAAAAGCUCGUAGUUGGACCUUGGGUUGGAUCGAUCGGUCCGCCAUUGGUAUGCACCGGUCGGCUCGUCCCUUCUGAGGGCGAUGUGCUCCUGGCCCUAACUGGUCGGGUUGGGCCUCCGAUGUUGUUACUUUAAAGAAAUUAGAGUGCUCAAAGCAAGCCUAUGCUCUGGAUACUUUACAUUGGGAUAACACCAUAGGAUUCUGAUCAUAUUGUCCUAUUGUGUUGGCCUUCGGGGUCAGAGUAAGGAUUAAGAGACACAAUCGGGGGCAUUCAUAAUUCAUAGUCAGAGGUGGAAUUCUUGGACUUAUGAAAGACGAACAAUUGCGAAAGCAUUUGCCAAGGAUGUUUUCAUUAAUCAAGAACGAAAGUUGUGGGCUCGAAGACGAUCAAAUAUCGUCUUAGUCUCAACCAUAAACGAUGUCGACCAGGGAUCAGCGGAUGUUGCUUUUAGGACUCUGCUAGCACCUUAUGAUAAGUCAAAGUCUUUGGGUUCUGGGGGGAGUAUGGUCGUAAGGCUGAAACUUAAAGGGAUUGAUGGAAGGGCACCAGGUUUAGGCUAAAACCCUAAACCCUAACCCUUAAACCCAAGUCCAGACAUAGUAAGGUUAGACUAGUUAAUUUUGUUCUUGAUUCUAUGGGUGGAGGUGCAUGGUCAUUCUUAGUUGGUGGAGCGAUUUGUCUAGUUAAUUCCGUUAAUGCACGAGACCUCUGCCUACUAUCUAGCUAUGUAGAGGUAACCCUCUAUGGCCACCUUCUUAGAGGGAGUAUGGCCGCCUAGGCCACAGAAGUUUGAGGCAAUAACAAGUCUGUGAUGCCCUUAGAUGUUCUGGGCCACACGUGCGUUACACAGAUGUAUUCAACGAGUCUAUAGCCUUGGUCGACAGGCCCGAGUAAUCUUUGAAAUUUCAUCUUGAUGGGGAUAGGUCAUUGCAAUUGUUGGUCUUCAACGAGGAAUUCCUAGUAAGUGGGAGUCAUCAGCUCGCGUUGACUACGUCCCUUCCCUUUGUACACACCGCCCUUCGCUCAUACCAAUUGAAUGGACCGAUGAAGUGUUCGGAUUGCAGUGACGUGGAUGGUUUGCUGCUGGUGAUGUUGUGAGAUGUCCAUUGAACCUUAUCAGUUAGAGGAAGGAUCAUUGUCGAAGCCUCACAUGCAGUGCGACCCCGUGAAUCUGUUUUACUUAUGCCUUGGCCACGUGCUAGGCACCAAGCGGGGUGAAUGUUGGCUUCCAAUGAGCAAUGUCUCACUGUUGGUUGAAGGAUGCUAGCUGAUCUAAAGCUCGAGACCAAUCAUGCGUACCCUCACCAGCUUUGCGACUCUUUGAUCCAUGGGGGUCUCUUGGACUCCUAAUACGGGAACCUCGGGCCAGGCAGGGCUACCCGCUGAGUUUAAGCAUAUCAAUAAUUGGGGAAAAAGAAACUACCAACAAUUCCCUUAGUAACGACGAGAGAACCGAGAAAAGCCCACCCUGAGCAUCGGUCACCCUCGGUGUCCGAAUUGGAGACUGGAGAAGCAUCCUCAGUGGCGGACCGAGCUCAAAUCCCCUUGAAGAGGGUGCCAGAGACGGUGAGAGCCUCGUCGUGCCCGGACCCUAUCGCACCACGAGGCGUUGUCGGUGAGUCACUAAAAGUGAUAAAAGUUCAACAAAAGUAGAUAGUAGCUAUUACAACCCACUAAAAGCAAAGAGAAAAUUGAAAGUGCGCAUGUCAAGAGGAGCACUUUGGAAAGCUUACUCACAAUAUUAGUUUUGAUGAGGACAACUUGUGAUUAUAAGAGCUUGAAGAUCAUCAACAAAUCAGCGUGCUUAAGUCUCUAGAUUGGUAUUAGACUUAGACUAAUAGUUAGUUUAGGUUGAGUCUAAGGCUUAGGUAAACUCAAUACAUGUCUCAUAUGCAUAAAACUUUAAAUCAUUUUAAGUUUUGAGAUAUGUCAUUUAUAAUAUGUUCAUGCAUCAUAUAAAUACAUGUAAUCUGUGCAUCAUAGGCAUAAACUUAGUGUUGAACAUGUGUAAAUUAAGUGUAUAACGUAUUUGAGUUUUGCAAAUUGAAAUUACGCUUGGAAAUAUGCAGUUAAUCGAUUAAGGCAUGAUUUAAUCGAUUAACAUAAGUUUUUUGAAAAGCUGUUGAAACAGAAAACUUGGAAAAAUAGAAUCAGUUACAUUUUUGAAACACGUUAAUCGAUUAACCAAGGCCUUAAUCGAUUAACUGGGCUGCAAAAUUGAUUCUUUAUAAACUGCAUUUUCAGAACUUAAGCCAUAACUUUAAGAGAGUUAGAGCUUAUUUCGUGUUAAUUGUUGCAUCUAUAUGACAUUGCAUUUGUGAGAUUAGAAAAGAGAGAAUUCUAUGCUUUAGGAUUGAGAGGCAUUUCAUGUUUAAUUUCUCAUCAUUUCAUCUCACAUGUUCAUGCAUUCAUUGAUGUUUUUGUGAAGAUUUUGUAUUCUGUAAAAUCUGUUUUCCAACUAAUGCAUUAUCAUGUUAUAUGAGACUUGUAUUAGAGUUUUAGAGUAAAGGUCUUAAUUGUUAAAUUUUAGCAUUGUAAUUGCUUUAGAUUACUCUAUGUUUUUCUUGUGAAAAGUGUUAUAACUUUGGGAAUCUCAAGGUGUCUNNNNNNNNNNNNNNNNNNNNNNNNNNNNNNNNNNNNNNNNNNNNNNNNNNNNNNNNNNNNNNNNNNNNNNNNNNNNNNNNNNNNNNNNNNNNNNNNNNNNUUCCCUCUCUCUCUUUAUUGCUUUAAUCGAUUACUUUGUAUAGUUGUUUUAAUUGCAAUAUUCUGUUUCUAUACUAUACUGUUGUAACUCUGAUAUAUCUGUUAACUCUGUAUAUUAGUUUCAAGCUCAGUUGAUUGUCGUGCAAGAAACCGAAUAUGUUUGUGUAAUAUGAGCUAUUUUAAUCGAUUAAAUUGAUUACGUUAAUCGAUUAUUUCUAUUCUCUUAAUCGAUUAAUCUAGAGUUAAUUCAGCAUUACUUAUUGUUUUCGGAAAAGCGGAUACUCUAACCGCUACACCUAUUCAACCCCCCUUCUAGGUGUAUUUUAGCCACUGNNNNNNNNNNNNNNNNNNNNNNNNNNNNNNNNNNNNNNNNNNNNNNNNNNNNNNNNNNNNNNNNNNNNNNNNNNNNNNNNNNNNNNNNNNNNNNNNNNNNUGCAAAAGAAAUGUGGGACACUUUACAAGUGACUCACGAAGGCAUCAGUGAAGUCAAGCGCGCUAGAUUAAAUGCGCUGACCCACGAGUAUGAGUUAUUUCGCAUGUUACCUAGCGAAUCAAUCAGUGAUAUGCAAAAGCGAUUUACUCAUAUCGUGAAUCAUUUAGUUGCUCCAGAUAAAUCUUUUGCCAAAGGAGAAUUAACUAAUAAAUUUUUACUUUGUCUUGACAGGAAAUGGCAACCGAAAGUGACUGCAAUUAUGGAAUCCAAAGACUUGGACUCUAUGCCUCUAGCUACAUUGUUUGGAAAGCUUCAAGAGCACAAAAUGGAAUUGGGUUGCUUGACGAUGCAUGAGGAUGAGGACCGGAAGAAGAAGAGCAUCACAUUGAAGGCUACGACCUCCAAAACAAAAGAAGAUAAAGAUGAUGAUGAAUCUGACUCCGAUCUGGAUGAUGAAACNNNNNNNNNNNNNNNNNNNNNNNNNNNNNNNNNNNNNNNNNNNNNNNNNNNNNNNNNNNNNNNNNNNNNNNNNNNNNNNNNNNNNNNNNNNNNNNNNNNNCUUAUGUCGAGUUACAUGAGGAACUAAAGAAAUUGGCUAGGAUAAACGUUGAUAGAAAAAGGGUAAUCCUCAUAAAUGAACAAAAAAUAAGCAAACUAAAAAAAGAAUUAGAUGAAUUGAAAUUAGAAAAUGAAACGUUAGACCUCAUCUAUUCUUGUAGCACAUGUAACUGCUCUGAAAAUAAUUUAUGUCAAAAACCUGUCUGUGAGACUUGCGAGACUUUACAAAAAGAAAAUGUUAAACUUGAAGAAAAACUCACACGUCUCACAAACAGUCAACAAAAAUUAGACACUAUGUUAAGUCAAACAAGAAACGUUGGUGAUCUUACAGGACUAGGUUAUACUGGCCCAACUAGGAACAAAAGACCAUAUAGAAAACCUAUAGCUCGUCCUAAAAAUAAAUAUCACAAGCACACACCAACAUGUUUUUACUACAAUACAUAUGGUCAUACCUCAUAUUCAUGUUACAUAAACUUAAAGAAAAACUCACACGUCUCACAAACAGUCAACAACAUUUAGACACUAUGCUAAGUCGAACAAGAAACGUUGGUGAUCAUACAGGACUAGGUUAUACUCGCCCUACUAGGAACAAAAGAACAUAUAGAAAACCUAUAGCUCGUGCUAAAAAUAAAUAUCACAAGCACACACCUACAUGUUUUUACUGCAAUACAUAUGGUCAUACUUCAUAUUCAUGUUACAUCAGAAAGUAUGGUAUACCUUGUGGCGUUUAUAUGUGGAUAAAGAAGGGAGAUGACUCCCCGUUUACUAACAGAAAAGGACCCAAUAUCAAUUGGGUACCUGAGAAAAGCAAGUGAUCUUUUUGCAGGUAUGUCUUCGAACACAAGGGCAGAAAUGGUACCUAGACAGUGGGUGUUCGAGACAUAUGACAGGUGACAGAUCAAAUUUCCUGGAUCUUUCACUUAAAGGUAAAGGGUACGUCACGUACGGAGACAACAACAAGGGAAAGAUUCUUGGCACCGGAAUAGUUGGUAACUCAUCUUAGACUCUUAUUGAAAAUGUUCUUUAUGUUGAAGGAUUAGAACAUAAUCUCUUGAGCAUAAGCCAACUCUGUGACAAAAGUAACCGUGUAUCUUUCGGUUCUGAUUGUUGUAUUAUUCGUGACAUUUUAUCUAAUAAUGUUAAAUUUGUUGGUCAUCGUAUAAAUAAUAUUUACAUGGUUAAUUUGGAUGAUGUCACUACUCUAUUUUCAAAAUGUUUUAUUUCAAAAGAAGAUGACAUUUGGCUUUGGCAUAGACGCGUUGCACAUAUCCAUGUAAAACAUCUAGAUAAAUUAUCAUCAAAUGAACUAGUUGAGGGGCUACCAAAGCUAAAUUUUAAAACUAAAGAAAUUUGUGACACUUGCCAAAAGUGUAAACAAACCAAAAACUCCUUUAAAAAGAAAAAUGUGAUUUCCACUUCAAGGCCCUUGGAAUUACUCCAUAUGGACUUGUUUGGACCAUCACAAAUCAUGAGUUUUGGCGGUAGCUACUAUGCCCUAAUUAUUGUUGAUGAUUUCUCCCGAUUUACAUGGACAUUAUUUUUAUCUUCAAAAAGCGAUGCGUUCAAAUCUUUUAAAAAUCUUGUCCAGCAAAUCCAAAACCAACUUAACCUGAAAAUAGUAUAUAUACGCAGUGAUCGCGGAGGAGAAUUUGAGAACUUUUAGUUUGAUAAAUUAUGGGAUGAGCAUGGCAUUUUACAUCAAUUCUUUGCUCCUCGCACUCCACAACAAAAUGGGGUUGUUGAGAGGAAGGAUUGUGUUUUAGAAGAACUAGCCAGAACCAUGCUUAACGAAAGUAAUAUCCCCAAAUACUUCNNNNNNNNNNNNNNNNNNNNNNNNNNNNNNNNNNNNNNNNNNNNNNNNNNNNNNNNNNNNNNNNNNNNNNNNNNNNNNNNNNNNNNNNNNNNNNNNNNNNCGAUGAAAGAAUAUUUUUGGGGUACUCGAUGCAUAACAAAGCCUUUAGAUUCUUCAAUAAAUAUGUAAUGCAAGUAGAAGAGUCUAUCCAUGUACAAUUUGACGAAUGUUCUCCAAAAGAGAAGAGAAAGGUCGUGUCUGAUGAUGUUGCAGGUGCUUUAGAGGAAGCAACGCUAUUUAUUCGUAAAUCAGAAAACCAUGUAUCACUUGUGCAAAUCUAUGUUGAUGACAUAAUAUUUGGAUCUACUAAUGAUAUUCUCUGUAGAGAGUUUUCAGAGAUGAUGCAGGGAGAGUUCGAAAUGUCUAUGAUGGGAGAACUCACAUUCUUUCUGGGACUUCAAAUAAAGCAGCUAGAAAGUGGGAUAUUCAUUCAUCAGGCAAUGUAUUGCAAAGAGCUACUUCAAAAAUUUCAUAUGGAUAAAUGUAAGGAAGCCUCCACUCCUAUGGCAUCUGCUUGCUACCUAGAUAAGGACGAAAAAGGAAAAGCAAUAGAGGUAACAAAGUAUCGUGGUAUAAUUGGGUCAUUACUUUACUUAACUGCAAGUCCACCUGAUGUCAUGUUUAGUGUAUGCAUGUGUGCAAGAUUUCAGUCUUUACCUAAGGAAUCACAUUAUGUAACUGUUAAAAGAAUCAUGAGAUAUUUAAAAGGAACAACUAACGGAUUAUGGUAUCCUCGGGACGCCUCACUAUCCUUGGUAGGAUAUUCCGAUUCCGAUUUCGCUGGAUGUAAAUUGGAUCGGAAAAGCACUAGUGGUACUUGUCACUUGUUGGGCAGUUCAUUAGUUGCAUGGCACAGUAAAAAGCAAGCCUGUGUUGCUUUGUCCACCGCCGAAGCGAAAUAUAUUGUCGUCGGUGUGUGUUGCGCUCAAAUCCUUUGGAUGAAGCAGCAACUUAAGGACUUUGGUCUUAAACUAGAAAAGAUCUCCAUUAAAUGCGAUAAUAUAAGUGCCAUAAACCUAUCUAAGAAUCCAGUUUUGCAUUCUAGAACCAAGCAUAUAGAAAUUAGACAUCAUUUCUUACGUGAACAUGUACAAAAAGGUGACUACGUUCUUGAAUUUGUUGAAAACUCUAAACAGUUAGCAGAUAUCUUCACCAAGCCCCUUCCACGGGAUACUUUCUAUGUUCUAAGGAGAGAACUUGGAAUUCUUGAUGAACGAUAUCUUAUUUAAAAAUGUUUAGUUGUUUGGUUUAUGUCUUGCCUCUAUAUGUUUAUCAAUCUCUUGAUUUAAAUAAAAUUUGUUGAAAUGCAAAAUGAUAUCUCAUGAUAACUUCUUUUCGUGAUUNNNNNNNNNNNNNNNNNNNNNNNNNNNNNNNNNNNNNNNNNNNNNNNNNNNNNNNNNNNNNNNNNNNNNNNNNNNNNNNNNNNNNNNNNNNNNNNNNNNNGUGUUAAUCGAUUACCUGGGCACCAUUUUCUGAAAAAUCAAUUUUUACAUGAUUUUAAUCGAUUAACCAGGCCCGUUAAUCGAUUAAAACCAGCAGUUUAAGUGCAUACAACACCUCGGUUUCACGCUUUUUCGGCAUUUUUGUCCAUCUCUUCUUGCUUUUGAGUCUCUGAAAUUGUAACUCAACUGACCCAAGUGCAUUAAGCUAGAUAAACCUCACCCUAACCCCCUAGAAAUCUCAAAUUUCAUCCAUAUUCCACUACAUUUCCAUUUUUCCGAAAUCAAAACCCUAGGUUAGGUUUGCCUCAAUUCCUCACUAUUUGGUCCAACAUCAAUUUGGGUUCUACAUAAAGAUGGAGCAAGGUCGCGCAAAAAGGUUCAAAAACCCUGCCAAUCGUCCUCCACUCGGGACCGUGGUGACCUAUUUUGCUCGCUCAUAUUUCAAGAGACCCGUUUGGCAAAGUUCCAAGGACGCAAACCCACUUAUGUAAGGUAUUUCGAUUUAACCUGGAUGGCAUAACAAAAUUUCAGUUUUCCGCAUGAUAUGGAGGCUCAGGGAGCCGUUAAAUUUCUGGAAUUAAAGGGACAAGUUUACACUACUCUAGUUAGGGAAUUUUAUGCAAAUUUCAGAUAUAAGGAUGGGAAAUACUGGUCUAUGAUUUCUAGUAAGUUUGUUUGAGAUUAGUGAUGAACUGUUUAUGAAUGUCGGUCGAUUAUCAUCUUCGGGUUAUGGAAUAGGAGAUUGCUCAUGGGUUAAGGAUAACUUUGAUUCUACUGAGGUGUAUAAGUCAUUUCUUAGAGGACCUCAUUUGUAUAUUCCGGGUCAACUGACCAAGGCUGGGUCUUUAUCUGUUGAGAACAGGCUGCUUCAUUAUGUCAUUGCCUAUAUUAUGGUGCAGAGGAACACAAAUCAUGCACAUCCUACUGUGAAUGAUUUGCGUUUCAUGUACGCUGUUAAGAAUAAUGUGAUGAUUAACUGGCCUGAGGAAAUAUUGAAGAUUAUGAACAGUGUGUCUUUGUCUCAGUCAAAGGUGGAUUAUUUGCAUAUUGAUGUUUCUGACACCAUCAUUGUUGAGUAUACUGAUAAGGAUCAUCUGGUUGGUGAAAGUCUGAUUCAUAAAAUGGGCAUAUACAAGUACGACACUACUUAGCAAUACCAGGAGGACUACACUACUAUUGAUCUGGAGCUGUCCAGUGAUGAUGAUUAGGGUGGCAUGGGUGAUCAGAAUGCUACAAAUCAGGAGGAGCCCUCUAGGACAACAUCACAGGAUAUUGUUUUCGGUUUGGCUCAGAUGGAAGCUAUGGAGUAAAGGCUCAACAACUGCAUGGAUCUUCACUUUCAAGGGUUGAAGGAGUUAUACUUUGCAGGUAUGGAACAGUAUGAAGAGCGUCAAACCGCUUAUUCAUACAACCAAUAUCAAUUUGUAAGGAAUCUGAUUCAAUCAACAGCCGAAGCUCAGAAUGCCUUCAUUCGAUCUACAGCUGAAGCUCAAAAUGCAUUGUUUUGUUCUAAAUUUCAGAAGUUGUCUAUGCUGAUCANNNNNNNNNNNNNNNNNNNNNNNNNNNNNNNNNNNNNNNNNNNNNNNNNNNNNNNNNNNNNNNNNNNNNNNNNNNNNNNNNNNNNNNNNNNNNNNNNNNNCUUUGUUUUAUGUUUAACUACAUAUCUCUGCCUACUUUUGACCUGGGUUAUCUUUUUGAUAAUGUCAAAAGGGGGAGAAAGGUUGUUUUGUUGUUGUUUGAUUGUGCAGGUUGAUCGUAAUAACUGCUUCUGAAAUAUUAGCGCAUCCUAUCAAUCAGUGCCAAUACAAUCUUCAAGCUAAUUCAUCAAACAAUUGGUGUAGUAUUUUGUCAUUAUCAAAAAGGGGGAGAUUGAAAGUGCGCAUGUCAAGAGGAGCAUCGGUCACCCUCGGUGUCCGAAUUGGAGACUAGAGAAGCAUCCUCAACGACGGACGGGGCUCAAAUCCCCUAGAAGAGGGUGCCAGAGAGGGUGAGAGCCUCGUCGUGCCCGGACCCUAUCGCACCACGAGGUGCUGUCGGUGAGUCACUAAAAGUGAUAAAAGUUUAGCAAAAGUAGAUAGUAACUAUUACAACCCACUAAAAGCAAAGAGAAAAUUGAAAGUGCGCAUGUCAAGAGGAGCACUUAAAGCUUUCUCACUAUGUGUUUAGUUUUGAUGAGGACAACUUGUGAUUAUGAAAGCUUGAAGAUCAUCAACAAAUCAGCAUGCUUAAGUCUCUAGAUUGGUAUUAGACUUAGACUUGUAAUUAGUUUAGGUUGAGUCUAAGGCUUAGGUAAACUCUAUACAUGUCUCAUAUGCAUAAAACUUUAAAUCAUUUUAAGUUUUGAGAUAUGUCAUUUAUAAUAUGUUCAUGCAUCACAUAAAUACAUGUAAUCUGUGCAUGCUAGGCAUAAACUUAGUGUUGAACAUGUGUAAAUUAAGUGCAUAACGUAUUUGAGUUUUGCAAAUUGAAAUUACACUUGGAAAAAUGCAGUUAAUCGAUUAAGGCAUGAUUUAAUCGAUUAACAUAACUUUUUUGAAAAGCUGUUGAAACAGAGAACUUGGAAAAACAGAAUCNNNNNNNNNNNNNNNNNNNNNNNNNNNNNNNNNNNNNNNNNNNNNNNNNNNNNNNNNNNNNNNNNNNNNNNNNNNNNNNNNNNNNNNNNNNNNNNNNNNNUGAAGUCAUAACUUGCAUGUUGCAUUUUUUAGAGAGUUAGAGCAUAUUUCGUGUUAAUUGUUGCAUCUAUAUGACAUUGCAUUUGUGAGAUUAGAAAAGAGAGAAUUCUAUGCUUUAGGAUUGAGAAGCAUUUCAUGUUUAAUUUCUCACUAUUUCACCUCACAUGUUCAUGCAUUCAUUGAUGUUUUUGUGAAGAUUUUGUCUUCUGUAAAAUCUGUUUUUCAACUAAUGCAUUAUCAAGUUAUAUCAGACUUGUGUUAGAGUUUUAGAGUAAGGUCUUAAUUGUUAAAUUUGAGCAUUGUAAUUGCUUUAGAUUACUCUAUGUUUUUGUUGUAAAAAGUGUUGUAACUUUGGGAAUCUCAAGGUGUCUUACCACCAACGAGAUUAUGUUGUAUCUUCAUUAGCUUAGAGUUCUUGAUAGAAAGAAUAGGUUCUUAGCUGGGGCUACACCGCAAGAAAGGUUUUCUUGGGCGGUAGGAAGGGAGUCAAACCAAGGAACAAUGUUCUUUAGUUUCAAGUGAAUGUCUAAGUGUUGUAAUUGGAAGAAUUGCUUGUAAAACAUUAUUUCAAUUAUAGUGAAGAAAAAUAUCCCAGAUCAGUCGGGAGGCUUGGAUGUAGUUUGCAAGUGGACACGCAAACGAACCAGGAUAAAAAAUCGUGUUGCAUGCUUUUUCUUUCCCUCUCUCUCUUCAUUGCUUUAAUCAAUUACUUUGUAUAGUUGUUUUACUUGCAAUAUUCUGUUUCUAUACUAUAUUGUUGUAACUCUGAUAUAUCUAUUAGCUCUGUAUAUUCGUUUAAAUCUCGGUUGAUUGUCGUGCAAGAAACCGAAUCUAUUUGUGUAAUCUGAGCUAUUUUAAUCGAUUAAAUUGAUUACGUUAAUCGAUUAUUUCUAUUCUGUUAAUCGAUUAAUCUGGGGUUAAUUCAGCAUUAAUUGUUGUUUUCGGAAAAGCGGAUACUCUGACCGCUACACCUAUUCAACCCCCCCUUCUAGGUGUAUUUUAGCCACUGAUACCUAACAAAAAUAUGAAAGUAAAUGUAAUUAGAUCAAUGCAAAUAGAUUUAGAAGUUUCUAAAAUUCUUUCAUCCAUUGAUCAAGAUACUACUUGUUAGGUAAAUAUUUAUCACAAUAUUAGGUUACCUCACAUGCUUUACCUCAUCUUUAUCAAGAUGUUUGAAGUUUUCCAUAUUUGAUGUAUUCUUUGGCCUUUCUUCAAUUUGUGAUUCUUGUCCUUUUCUUCCAUAGAAUAUCAAUUCCUGAAGUAUUUAUCCUCAUUUGUACCUAUAAAACAAUAAGCAUACCAUUCCUCUCCUCUUUUGGGGAUGGCUUAAUCGAGCAUUAAAUUCGCAUAAGCUUUGCAAAAAAAAAAACAUAGUUUUGGUUAAGUUUGCAUUGAUGUGAGAUUUAACCAGUUGUGUUUUAACAUGAUUAGAAAAUCCUUAAUGUUGUUUCAACAUUUACUUAUUAAUCAAAACAUGGUUAAAGGAUUCAUAUACUUAUUUAAUAGUAUCAUGUUUACAUUUGAGAGCAUGUAAAUGUGAGACAUAAAGCAUUAGGCCUCAAAAUGAUUUUUUGGGGGAUAUCAUGAUUCUUGAGUUUAUGGCCUUGCUAUGAUUUCAUUUUAGAAUAUAUCUAUGACACUUAAGGUAUGUAAUACUUGUAGUUAAGAAACGAUACCUUGUUUUACCUUUGUUGCACAAUUCUUCCUAUCUUCAAGCAUUUGUGAUGACAAGAUGCUCAUAGGUGUCAUAGUCUCCUUUCCUUUGGUGAAAAGUCAAAGAAGUUUGAUCUUCUCACCUUCUUAUGUGCCUAGAACACUUGCUGCCCAUAUGAAAUUUGGAGUCCAUAUGUGCUUAGGAAAACCUACAAAACACACUUAAUUGUUUUUCUUGGGUACCCAACUAAGCUUGGGUCCCUUGAUGUUAGUAGCUUGGGGAUUUUGUUUCUUAGUAAUCCAUAUACAAUUUCUAUUUGGAACAUCAUGCAUUCUAACAUUAUAGGCAUUCAAGGUAUGACCAUACAAUCCAUAAUAAAAGCAAGUAGGUGAUUCACGACGUGAAAUUUUCAGAACAUUUACUUGUUUCUUGUGAAAUGUGUUGGUUGCUUUCAUAUAUUCCAAAAUAGACUUAAUCCCAUCAUUUUUAUAUGUAGCAAGUAAUUUGUUUGAAUUGUAAUUACUAGAUGUGAAAUUAACAACUUUAUCAUUUAAGACAUUAUGUUAAUUUUUCAGGCAAAUGCAAUUUUCACAAAUAGGUGCCACAUUUAAGUUAGAAGUACAAUCACAUGAAGUUUUAGCAUAUUUAGCAUCUAAGGUUUCGUUUUCAAUUUUGAGCAUAUCAAUGACAUUUUGCAAUUUACAUAUUUUCUUUUCAUGAUCUAAAAUUAACCUUUUGCUAUUCUUGUACUUUUUAGCUAAAAUUUUAAGUUGUUCAUGCAUUUCAACAUAAGCAUCAUAUAGCAUGUUAUAUGUGAGAGAUGUAUCGGAAUUUGAACUAGAAUCGUAUGAGUAUACCUCACUAGGCUCAUCUUGCUCACUUACUUCACAAGAGUUCAAAUUUUGAGUCAUUAGACAAAUCUUGUGUGAUUCUUCAUCUUCCGAGAUGCUUGUUGACGAAUCGUUCUCUCCGUGUUCAUUCCAAACAAUGUAUGCCUUCUUAUCUUUGAUGUCCUGAGAGUCUUUCUUGUAGUCUUGUUCAAUCUUCUUGGGAGGUGUAGGGCAUGUGUACCUCAUGUGUCCUACUUCCUACUUUUAUGGCAAGAUUAAUUGUCUUUGGGAUUCUUUCUUAUCUUGAUCGAACUAUCUUCAUCUUCCUUGUGAAGCUUCUUGGUUCCUCCAUUCUUUAUUAAGUACUUUCUGAAUUUGUUGAUAAGGAGGGACAUGGAUGCAUCAUCCGUGACGGAAUCAGACUCACCAUUAUCAAAUAUCUCCUUUUGACUUCUAGCAUCUCAUCUUGUUGCUUUGAAGGAUGUUUCUUUGAUGUUCUCGUCUAUUUAUUCAUUGAGUGUCAAACGUCGUAAUUCUUGCUCAUGUUCUUGAAGUUUGUCAAAUAGAGUUGCGAGCUUCAUUUGUUCCAGGUCCUUUGACUCCAUAAUGGCAGUCACCUUGGGUUGCCAUUUCUUGUCCAAACAUCUCAAAACUUUAACAGUUAGUUCAUGUUUGGCAAAUGAUUUAUCUAAUGCAAUGAGAUGAUUAAAAUAGAUAAAUCAUAAAUAGAUAAAUCAAUCAUAAAUAGAUAAAUCAAUCUAGAUUGUAUACAAUGCAAUGAGGUCAUACUCAUGCAUCAAUGUAUACAAUCUAGAACGUUUGACCUCACUUAGUGCCUUCGUGGAUCACUUGUAAAGUGUCCCACAUUGCCUUGGCACUAUCGCAUUGAGAAACUCUAAAGAAAUCAUCGUAUGAGAGUGCGGAAGUUAGAAUGUUUUUUUGCUUUCAAAUCGAAUUGCAUUUUUCUCUUUUCCUCAUUGGUCAAGAGACUUCUAGGUUUCUCUUUCAUUUUUUCGUUCACUACGUGUAGUGGAAUGAAAGGUCCGUUUUCCACGGAAUCCUAAAUUUCUAUAUCGAUGGCCUCAAUAAAAAAUUUCAUUCGGACUUUCCAGUAGGCGUAUCCGUCGCCACUGAAGGGGUAGGUGGAACCCAUAUGAUUUCCCUUUAUGAUCACGCGUAGGCGGUUGAGCUAGCAUGUCGUACUAGCUCCGAUACCACUUGUUAGGUAUCAGUGGAUAGAACACACCUAGAAGGGGUGGGGUUGAAUAGGUGUCGCGGUAAUCAAUUACCGCUUUUCGCAUCGAAGCCCUAUUCUGGAAAAAGCCACAGUGAAUCGAUUAACGCUCUGCUUUAAUCGAUUAACACACAACAAAACAACAAGUUGCAUAAUGGCUUCUUGCAUAGCCACUCACUAAUGUUCAAGAACAGAUAAAGCAUAUAUUUUUAUACAUAAUUAAACUAGAUACAACAACCUAACAGUAUCCAAAAUAUCAGCUAAUAUCAUGCAAUAAUAAGACUUGAAAUGUAAAGAGAUUAGCGAUAGAAAAAGCCUGCAACAAGGAAUUUUAUCUUGUUUUGUUUGCAGGUCAACUUGCAAACUACAUCAAUGCCUCCGUUAUUGAUCUCAAGAGAUUUUCUGCACUAAUAUUGAAAAGAAUGUAUAGUUACAUGCAAACUUCCAAUACAACACUUAGACACUCCCUUCUUGAAUCCAAGAACCCACUUUCUUGGUUUAGAACCUUUCUUACGAUCUAGCCCCAGUCAAAAACUUGCUCUAAACUCAAGACCUCUAAGUCUUGGUGAAGACUCAUUGACUCUUAGGUUGUAAGACACCAAUAGACAAAUUCCCUUAUUACAAAAACAUAGUAAUAUUAUGCACAAUUUUGCCCAAAAUGUUACAAUUAAAACUCAGCUAUAAACCUUAUACAAAACUCACAAGAUAACAUGAAUAUGUAUGAGUUUAUUAAAAUGCAGAAACACAUAAUUUCUACCCUAAAAUUCUAUUAAAGAAAUGCAAGUAAUAGGCAAGAAAAGAUAGGAAUGUUUAACAUAUAAACCACGUGCAAUAAAUGACAAUUAAAGCCUAAGCAUGAUACUUUCUCUCACUAUCUCACAAUGCAUUUCACUCUGUCUAUAUAACACAAUUAAACACAAAAAAUAUGCAACUAAUGUUAGGUAUUAGUGGACAAAACACACCUAGAAGGAGGGGAGGUUGAAUAGGUGUUGCGGUUACCAUUUACCGCUUUUUGCACCGAAGCCCUAUUCUGGAAAAAGCUCCAGUUAAUCGAUUAACAGUCUAUCUUAAUUAAUCAAUUAACUCACAUAAAACAACAAGUUGUAAAGUGGCUUAUUGCUCAGCCACUCACCGGUAAUCAGAUACAGAUACAAAAAAUAUACUUGAACAUAAUUAAACUCAGUAUGGUAAUAUUACAGUAUCCAAAAUUAUCAGCUACAAUUAGGCAAUUAUUACAACUUUAAAUAAAAGAGAUUAAGGAUAGAAAGAGCCUGCAACAAGGAAUUUUAUCUUGGUCCGUUUGCAGGUCCACAUGCAAACUACAUCCAAGCCUCCCCUUCUAAUCUUAGAAGAUUUUCUUCACUAAUAUUGAAACGAAUGUAUUUUUACAUGCGCACUUCCAAUAUACAAACUUAGAUGCUCCCUUCUUGAUUCCAAGAACCUAAUUUCUCGGUUUGACUCACCUAAUGGCCUAAGAAUACCUUUCUUAAAAUCUAGCCCCAACCAAGAAACGUUCUAAACUCAAGUCCUCUAAGUCUUAGUGAAGACUCACUGAGUCUCUUUGGUGGUACGAAACCAAGAGAUGAUUUCCCUGAUUAGAACUCUAAAACAUUACAAAAAAUAGAGUAUUAUCAAGCAUAAUAUAGCUCAAAAUAUAACAAUUAAAUCUCAGCUAAAACCCUAUACAAGACUCACAAGUAAGCAUGAAUAUGUAUGAGUUAAUUGAUGUCCAAAAAUAGAGAAUUUCUAUCCUUAAAUUAUUCUAAAUAAAUGCAAGAAUCAUGUAAAAGAAGAUAGAAAAUGUUAACACAUUAAUCACAUGCAAUUAUAUCACAAUUAAGCCCUAAACAUGAUAUUAUCUCUCACUAUCUCGCUAUGCAUUUCUCCCUGCCUAAAAUGACACAAAUGAGCACGAAAAAUAUGCAACUUAACAAUUCUAAAAUGAAUGAUAUGAUGUGUUGAAAACGAUUGAGAACAACUCAAUUUAGUUUUUCAGUUAUCUGUUAAAACUGAUUUCACGUUAAUCGAUUAACUCAUUACUUAAUCGAUUAACUAGCAUAUUUUUAAGUUAAAUGAUAAAAUGGUAAACUACCUAUAUGUUAUUGUUAUCAUCUAUACAUGUGUUACAAGUAUAUUAUGCCUAUGAUGUACAAAUAACAUGUAUGAUUUAUGCAUGAACAUAUAAUAAUCUAGAUGGAAUGUCUCAUGUAAAUGAUUUGAUUAUUUUUAAGACUUGUGAGAAUUGCACCUAGGUUUACCUAACCUAGACUCAAUAUCUAAGACACAUAUCUAUGACUCUUGUAAGAUAUGAGAUCCUUGAGUCCAUGGCAUGUUCAUUUGUUGAGUCAUCUUCAAGCUUUCCAUGAAUCCUUGUCUUCGUCAAAACAUAGGCAAUUUAAUAGUGCAACACUUUGACACUUGCACUUUCAACUAACAAUUCUAAAAAUGAAUGAUAUGAUGUAUGGUACAUGAUAUAAAAACACAAUUUUUAUAGAAAACCUUUUUGAGACCCAGUUAAUCGAUUAAGUACCCAUUUAAUCAAUUAACGGGUUGUUGGGAAUAAUUGUUUUCAGGUUUUCAGUUAUCUGUUAAAACUGUAAUAACGUUAAUCGAUUAAUUCAUCCCUUAAUCGAUUAACUAGCACAUUUUUCAGCUAAAUGAUUAAAUGGCAAACAACCUAUAUGUUAUGCUUAUCAACUAUACAUGUUUUACCAAUAUAUUAUGCCUAAGAUGCACAAGUGACAUGUAUGAUUAAUGCAUGAACACAUAAUGAUCUAGAUGGAAUGUCUCAUGUAAAUGAAAUGAUUAUUUUUAAGGCUUGUUAGAAUUGCAUCUAGGUUUACCUAACCUAGACUCAAUAUCUAAAGCACACAUCUUAGACUUCAAAAAAUAACUCUAUUAAAGAACCUAGUCUAGAUAUGAAACCCUUGAGUCCACGGCAUGUUGAUUUUUUGUUUCAUCUUCAAGCUUUCACUAAAUCCUUGUCUUCAUCAAAACAUAAGCAAUCCCAUAGUGCUAUACUUGACACUUUGCACUUUCAAGAAGAACUGGUGAAGCAGGAUGAACUAGAAGCUGGAUUAUGGUGCCUAACUGUGCGCUAACCUAGACCCCACAAAGGGUGUUGGUCGAUUAAGACAAUAAGACGGUGGUCAUGGAAGUCGAAAUCCGCUAAGGAAUGUGUAAGAACUCACCUGCCGAAUCAACUAGCCCCGAAAAUGGAUGGCGCUAAAGCGCACGACCUAUACCCGACCAUCGGGAGAAGGGUCAGACUCUGAUGAGUAGGACGGUGCAAGAGUCGCUACAAAACCUAGGGCAUGAGUUCGAGUGGAGCGAUCGUCAGUGCAGAUCUUGGUGGUAGUAGCAAAUAUUCAAAUGAGAACUUUGACGGUUGAAGCGGGGAGAGGUUCUAUGUGAACGACACUUGCACAUGGGUUAGUCGAUCCUAAGGGACGGGGGAAGCCCGUCUGAUAGCGCUCUAAGCAUGCACUCCGAAAGGGAAUCAGGUUAAAAUUCCUGAACCAUGACGUGGAGGCUGAUGACAAUGUUAGGGAGUCCGGAGACGUCGGCAGGGGACCCGAAAAGAGUUAUCUUUUCUAUUUAACAUCCUUCCCACCCUGGGAACGGCUCAGCUGGAGGUAGGUUCCAGUGGCUGGAAGAGCACCGCACGUCGCAUGGUGUUCCGUGCGCCCCUGGUGCCCCUUGAAAAUUCGGAGGAUGAUGUGCCUCCCAUGCCCGGUCGUACUCAUAACUGCUUCAGGUCUCCAAAGGUGAACAACCUUUGGUCGAUAGAACAAUGUAGGCAAGAGAAGUUGGCAAAACGGAUCCAUAACCUCUAUCAAGGUUCUGGUUUGGUGACUCACUAAUGGGUUGGGCGUGCCGAGGCUUCUAGUGUGACCUUUUCUGCAUGGAAGGAUGUGGUGUUAGGUGAAUCCUAUAGGGGCAUAGCCGCAACAUGAAUGGGCACAUGUUCAAUCAUCCGGAAGUGUGUUGUGGGUGGCGGGCGUGCCGAGGCUUCUAGUGUGACCUUUUCUACAUGGAAGGAUGUGGUGUUAGGUGAAUCCUAUAGGGGCAUAGCCGCAACAUGAAUGGGCACAUGUUCAAUCAUCCGGAAGUGUGUUGCGGGCUGGUUUGCACGGUUGAAGUCAAGGUGCAUUCGUCUGUGAUGCUAGCAACAAUGUCUCUCCGGAAGGCUAGUCCCUUAGAAAUGUGUUGGUUGUUGAGGUGUUGGAUUGGUCCCACAGUGCUGAGUUGGUAGUUAUGGCAUCCCACAAACAUUUUGAGCUUCUUGUGUGACCAAUCUUGCAUGGAAGGAUGUGGUGCUGGGUGAAAUCAAUGUGCGAUGGUAGUGUGUUUACAGAUGGUUUUCAUGGUUGAAGUCAAGGUGUGGUGGUGUAAGACAAACGCAAUAAUGCUGCGCGAUGUAGGCUUGUCCCACAUAAAUAUGUGCGCACCUCGAGAAAUAUGUGCGCACCUAGGCAUAUAUGUUUCCUAUGAGGCCCUUUUCGCCAUGGAAGGACGUGGUGUUAGGUGAUUCCCUAAGGGCUGAGCCGCACCAUGUACAAGGGUGAGCUUGUUUGUCGGCAGUGUGUUGUGGGAGGAUUUGGCAGUCAGAUAAAUUUUGAACCUUGGUCCUUAUCGAUGUUGGCGAUUACCUUUAUUGUUCGCGCCUGAUGUAGCGGAUCCGGCGACACAAUGUGUUUCAAUUUGCUUACUUGCCAUUGGCAUUGUGGGGUGUGGUUCGUGUGGUAUUGUCAAGUCUGUCUAACAGGAGGGCGCAUGAGUGACAAUUGGGAUGUUGAUGCUUUCUGGCUCCAUGAUCAUGGUCAUCGAACUUUCAGCACACAACCCUUCCCAUGUUCACCUUGUGUCAUUUCGGUCUCGAUAUUCAAUUAUGGUUCUUGUGUUGCCUACCCGUUACGUGGUAUUCAUGCGCCUCUUAUGAACCGUUCCCUCCAGACCCCUUCUAGAGGUCAUUGGAUGAUUCGAAAGUGAUGUGUGUAGCUGUGAAUUGUGAUGGCUUGCGUUCUCAUGUGUGACUAGUGUUCCCUUGGACGUGGUGCAUGCAGGGAACGCGAGCUGAUGAGUCUGCUCCAUUGAGUCCCUUUGAUUUAUCGAUUCCCUUGAAUAAGACUUUACCGUGGUAUUGGUCUUGCUUAACCAUUUGUGCUGGCAACACUUGCACGUCGAGCAAAGUCGUUGAUGGAUGCUACCUGGUUGAUCUUACCAGUAGUCAUAUCCUUGUCUCAAAGAUUAAGCCAUGCAUGUAUAAGUAUGAACUAAUUCAGACUAUGGAAUAGUGAAAUGGCUCAUUAAAUCAGAUAUAGUUUGUUUGAUGAUAUCUACUACUCGGAUAACCAUAGUAAUUCUAGAGCUACUACGUGCAACAAACCCCGACUUCUAGGAAUGGAUGCAUUUAUUAGAUAACAGGUCGAUGUAGGCUUUGUCUAUUGCUUUGAUGAUUCAUGAUAGCUCGUUAGAUCGCACGACCUUUGUGUUGGCGAUGCAUCAUUCAAAUUUCUGUCCUAUCAACUUUCGAUGGUAGGAUAGUGGCCUACCAUUGUGGUGACAGGUUAGGGAGGAUUAUGGUUCAAUUAUGGAGAGCGCGCUAGAGAAACGUCUAUAACAUCCAAGGAAGGCAGCAGGCGCGCAAAUUACCCAAUCCUGACACGGGGAGGUAGUGACAAUAAAUAACAAUACCGGGCUCAUUGAGUCGAGUAAUUGGAAUGAGUAAAAUCUAAAUCCCUCAACGAGGAUCCAUUAGAAGGCAAGUCUGGUGCCAGCACCCAUGGUAAUUCUAGCUCCAAUAGCAUAUAUUUAAGUUGUUGGAGUUAAAAAGCUAGUAGUUGGACCUUGGGUUCGGUCGCUCGGUCCGCCAUUGGUGUGCACCGGUUGGCUCGUCCCUUCUGGUCAGGUCGUGCAUCCGGCGCUGUUACUUUGAAUAAAUUAGCGAGCUCAAAUCAAGCCUACGCUCUGGAUACAUUAGCAUGGGCUAACACCACAGGAUUCUUAUCAUAUUGUGUUGGCCUUCGGGAUCAGAGUAAUGAUUAACAUGGACAAUCGGGGGCAUUCGUAUUUCAUAGGCAGAGGUGAAAUUCAUGGAUUUAUAAAAUACGAACAACUCUGAAAGCAUUUGCCAAGGAUGUUUUCAUUAAUCAAGAAUGAAAGUUGGGGGCUCGAAGACGAUUAGAUACCGUCCUAGUCUCAACCAUAAACGAUGCCGACCAGGGAUCAGUGGAUGUUGCUUUUAGUACUCCACUGGCACCUUAUGAGAAAUCAAAGUCUUUUGGAUCCGGGGGGAGUAUGCUCGCAAGGCUAAAACUUAAAGGAAUUGACAGAAGGGCACCACCAUGAGUGGAGCCUGCGGCUUAAUUUGACGCAACAUAGGGAAACUUACUAGGUCCAGACAUAGUAAGGAUUGACAGAUUGAGAGGUCUUUCUUGAUUCUGUGGGUGCUAGUGCAUGACCAUUCUUAGUUGGUGGAGCAAUUUGUUUGGUUAAUUUCGUUAACGAACGAGACCUCAACCUGCUAACUCGCUAUGUGGAGGUAACCCUUCAUGUCCAGCUUCUUAGAGGGACUGUGGCCGCCUAGGCCAUGAAAGUUCGAGGUUAUAAUAGGUCUGUGAUGCCCUUAGAUGUUCUAGGCCAUACGCGCGCUACAUUGAUGUAUUCAACGAGUCUAUAGCCUUGGCCGACAGGCCCAAGUAAUCUUUGAAAUUUUAUCGUGAUGGGGAUAGAUCAUUGCAAUUGUUGGUCUUCAACGAGGAAUUCCUAGUAAGCACGAGUCAUCAGCUCGGGUUGAUGUUGAAAGAAUUUUCUUUUUUUUCAAAGUGGUUUAUCCCCUCAACAAAUUGUCCCCGAUAGUGGCGCCAAUUUGUUGAAAGUGAAAACUUUCUCUUCGUCGGUGUGUUUUAUUUAUUUGGUUAAGUAAGUGAACUCGAUUUUAUUCUUUGUUCGCCAUCUCGGCUUUGUUGAAAUAAAUUCCAAAACCGGUAUAAUGGUUUAAAGACUAUUCUAGUUACAACUUACUUCUAAUAAUCAUGUGAAUAAGUUAUUCCUUUUUUGCUCCAUCUCGGCUUUGUUAGAAUAAAUUCUAACGCCAGUAUAAUGGUAUCGAAGCAAUCCGCUAUUACAUAAUUAUUAAGUACCUUUGAAUACCAUCCCGGUUUUGUGGAAUAAAUUCCAACACUGGUUUAAUGGUAUUCUAAUGUACAAAAGUGAUGAAUAGUUAGUUGUUAGAAACAAAUAAAUAAAUAAAGAAUAAAUUCCAACACCGGUUUAAUUGUAUUCUAAUGUACACAAGUGAUGAAUAGUUAGUUGUUAGAAACAAAUAAAUAACUAAAGAACAAAAGAAUAAUAAAGUUAAGUGACCUUUAUUUAUUUACUCCAUUUUGGAUUCCUUUUAUUAACAAACCAAACUUCUUCCUUAAGGAAGGUUGGUAUUAAAGAAUAAAUAAAUUGCGGAAAGUAAAUAACAAUAAAAUAAAAGUUAGUAAGUUAGUUUCAUUACUUUUGUAUAUUAAAAUGGGUUUCAACAAAUAACUUUAUUGAUAACACUUUACUAUUUUACAAUUUACACCUCUUUCAAGAUUCAAUUGUAGUAUAGUAUAUGGUUAUGUCGAACCACAAGGAAUUGCCUAAUAGCAUGAAUCAUAUGAAUAUGUCAAUGCACAAAUAAUGAGUGAACAUAUUUUGGUUGUUUUUGGUCUGAUAUGCACAUAAACACUUUAACAAGAAAUAUAAACUAAGUAUUCACAAAUUCUUGAGGAGACAAGAUCAUUUUGAAUGAUGAAAGAAUUUCUUAACUUCUUAUGUAUUUGAACUACUUAGACAAGUUCUUAUGUUUUACUUUGAUUAACUGGAAACACCAAGGUCUGAAAUCCUCCUUUUAGUGUAUGUCCUAAACAAAGAGUGUUACAUUCAAAAAGAGACUAGGUUGUCACACCCUAAUCUUGACUACUCUAAUAUUGAAGUAGUAAUGAAUAUAAGAUCUUAAGAAAAGCAUGCUUAACUUGGCAAAUAAACUAAGUAGUACAACUACUUCUUAGUUUAUUUGUUAAUUGUUUGAGACAAGUAAUUUUUCAUUACUUGAAAUCGGUUUUUAGGUGGUCAAUCUAAAAAGAGCUUUAAGAACUUCUCUAACAAAUAAAAUUAACCAAAACACCAAUUUGAAUGAUUAAAAUUCGAAUUUAGAAUAAAAGAAGAAGAAGAAAUACUUAAUCAACUUUAAAAUGAAAUUGUUAGGAGCAUAUGCCAUCCAUCCAAGGAUUGGAUGCUUUAAGUUCCAAAUGAGAUUACAAAAUGGAUUUUUGCAUCUCAAUUGCCUUCUCCUUUCUCCCCUUGAAUUAUAAACUAAAAACUAUAAAACUUACUUAAAUAGAACUUCUAUGAACUAAGAAUAAGAUGAGAGAAUUGUUUUUUUCACUUUAGGGAAGAAUAUUUUCAACGCAAGAAGAUAUCUCUUUGUGAAGGAAAUGCCUUCCUAUUUAUAGAAUUUCCCUGGCACCGCUGAGCUACUUGGUUGCAUCGCUCAACAGCUGACCAAACCCUUCAACAUGGGUUUGGUCACUUGGUCAAGUAGGUUUGUCACCUCCUUAAACUUGACUCACCAAAGCUAGUUGUCAGCUAUGGGACCAGCUAUGGUGAGCUACUCCUGAAAAGCCUAUGGUGGGCUACUUGAAGUGAUGUCAUGCAUGACUUCAUGGUUUCUUGAUGGCUAAGUCAAGUCUGGAGCACACCGCUGACCACACAUGUUGCACCGCUAAGUUGCUUGUUGAGCAGCUUUGACCGUGAUACUAAGACAUGGCUUGGUGCUUGUUGACCUGGUCAGGUGUCUAGUUCACCGCUGAGCACACAUGUGUCACCGCUGAGCUGCUGCUUGAGCAGCUUGGGCAUGUGCCAUGCUUGUGUCUGACCGUGCCAAGCUUAAGUUCUAACUGUGUCAGUUUUGUCUGGUGCUAGGCUGGGCGGUCAAAAAGGUCCACUUAACUGCCUGCUUGAGCAACUUGGUCUGUGCCAGGAUGGUUUGACUGAGCCAGGCUGGUGUCCAGGUCAGCUCAGCGUCGCUUGUUCCAUGCUAAGCUGCCUGCUUGAGCACCUUUAUUUUGACUUCUUUUUCUUCUAAGACCAUGAGUCUUUAUUCUCUUUUCUUUUUCUUUCUAAAUCCUACAAAACACAUUAAAGAGAAAUACAAACACAAAUAUACAAGAUUGUGAUAUUUUAUCCAAAAAGUAUUGUUUUAAGUUGGUUUUUCUCAAUUAUGCUUAAGAUAAGUGCCAUAAAAAUGUAUGAAAUUUAUGUAUGUUUGGCACUUAUUAGUUGACUAUGUCCCUGCCCUUUGUACACACCGUUCGUCGCUCCUACCAAUUGAAUGGUUUAAUGAAGUUUUCGGAUUGCGGCGACGUGGGCGGUUCGCUGCCAGCGACGUUGAGUGUUGGAUACUAGUAAGGUAAGAUUACACCUAGAGGGGGGUGAAUAGGUGUCGUAGAUCACCAGUCUGAAAGUGCAAAGUGUCAAGAAUGGCACUAACAUGUCUUUGUCUAUGUUUUGAUGAAGACAAGGUUUUAACAAAGCUUGAAGAUGGCUCAACAAUCAAUAGGCCUUAUGCUCAUUUGGUCAUGUCUAGACUAGGAUAUAAGUUGAGUCUUUAAUCUAUGUAGUCUGGGAUGUGUGCCAUAGUAAGUGAGUAUAGGUUAGGUGAACCUAGAUGCUAGUCUAUUAAACCAUCUUAAUUGACAUAUCAUAUUCAUGAGAUACAUCAUCUAGUUAAUUGUUUAUUCAUGCAUCGAUCAUACAUGUUAUAUGUGCAUAUUAGGCAUAAUAUAAUUGGAAAAACAUGUAUAUAUAUUGUGCAUAACAUAUGAGAAGUUUACCAUUUGAAACAUAUGCAUAAAUGUUCCAGUUAAUCGAUUAACGUGGUAACUUAAUCGACUAACUCAACUGUUUUUCUUUUAAAUAUGUGUUUUCUGUUUUAACUGAAUUCUGUGUCAUUUUGGUGUCCCGUUAAUCGAUUAAAUGGAAGCCUUAAUCGAUUAACUAGUUUGUUAUGUAUUAUAACUGAAAUCUAUUUUAACUGUUUUAACUAUUUAACUGUUUAACUGUUUUUGCAACGAAUGUAACCACUUAUUCUCCAUGCUAUAAAUACAAGGUAUCACUCAGAAACUCAUAGCAUCGCAUGCUAUUCUAUUGGGCUGUUUAGAGAGCAUUUUUCAUACGUGUUUUACUGUGUUUUUUCUAGAGAGUUGCAUGUGUGAGACGAGAGAUUAUGUUGUUUUAAUUGCUGUCAUAUGCUUCCUAUUUUUGCAUAAUUUCGUAUCCAUUCUUAUCUUGCUCACAUGAUCAUGCAUUAGAUUUUGAUAGUGAGAAAUCAAUUGUAUACUGAUAUUGANNNNNNNNNNNNNNNNNNNNNNNNNNNNNNNNNNNNNNNNNNNNNNNNNNNNNNNNNNNNNNNNNNNNNNNNNNNNNNNNNNNNNNNNNNNNNNNNNNNNCUUAAGUGAUUAGUAAAAGGGUUAAUCUUUGAGUCUUUAUCUUGUAAUAUUUUAAGCAUUAUUGUGCUUAGUAUACCUUGUUGUUUAACGUGUUUUUGUGUAGUUUGGAUUUGUCUCUUGGUGUGAGAUCACCAUAGAGAUUGAAGUUCUUCACCAAGGCUAGGAGGUCUUGAUUUGAGGAUAAGAAUCUUGGCUGGGGCUAGUUCGCCCAAAAGGUUUUCUCAAGAGGUGAAGGAUAGAGUCAAACCAAGGAUUUAGAGAUCUUAGAUUUCAAGAAGGGAGCGUCCUAUGUUCUAGUAAUUGAAUUGGUAUUUGUAUCCAUUUUUCAAUAUUGUGAAGAAAGAAAAUCUCUCUGAUCCAGAAGGGGAGGCUUGGAUGUAGUUUGCAGUGGACCGCAAACGAAGCAGGAUAAAAAUCAUUUUUGCAUUGUUCUUUCUCUCUUUAUCUUCUUUAUGUUUCUUGCCAUUACAAAUUAAUCUAUAAUUGAAAAGUUGGAUAUUUGUUUACUGCCAUAUACUUAAUAAUUGUGGGUAAAAAUAUCUCAAUUAUAUAUGUUCAAUUUUGUUUUAAUUACUAUGCAAUUUUCCUGACUGAUCAUUCUGUUCUCUGCAAUAGUUAAUCGAUUAAACCCUCAUAUUAAUCGAUUAACUAGUUUUCCAGCAGUUGGGUUUUGGUUCAAGAAGCAAUGAUUUUUAACCGCUACACCUAUUCACCGCCCCUUCUAGGUGUUCCUUGACCACUAAUACCUAACAAGUGGUAUCAGAGCUAGUACGAUGUGCUAGCUCAGUCGCAUUUGCGUGAUCCGAAGGGAAUUAAAAUGGGUUCCACCAACCCCUUUGGCGGUGAUGGCGCAUCCAUUACCUGCCCUCCCAUAUUCAGUGGCAAGGGUUAUGCCUAAUAGAAAGUCCGAAUGAAAAUAUUCAUUGAGGCUAUUGAUUCAUAUAUUUGGGAAUCCGUAAUUAGUGGCCACUUCGCCCCACUUCACUUAGUGGAUGGCGAACCGAAAGAAAGGCCAAAAAGCUUAUGGACUGAUGAGGAGCGCAAGAAGGUCCAGUUCAACCUUCGCCCCAAGAACAUCAUUACAUUGACCCUUUCCUACGAUGAAUUCUUUCGGGUGUCCCAAUGUCAAAGUGCCAAGGAAAUGUGGGACUCUUUACAAGUGACUCACGAAGGCACUAGCAAAGUCAAGCGCGCCCGGUUAAAUGCGCUAACUCACGAAUACAAAUUGUUUCGUAUGCUACCAAGUGAAUCAAUCGUUGAUAUGCAAAAACGAUUCACUCACAUCAUGAACCAUCUUAUCGCUUUAGAUAAGGUGUUCACCAAAGGAGAGCUCACUAAUAAAGUCUUACGUUGUCUUGACAGGAGAUGGCAACCUAAAGUAACAGCAAUCAUGGACUCCAAGGAUCUAGACUCCAUGCCUUUGGAACCACUCUUUGGAAAGCUUCAAGAGCAUGAGAUGUAGCUUGGGCGUCUGACAAUGCAUGAGGAGUCCGAUCGCAAAAAGAAGGGCUUCUCUCUCAAAGCUUCAACAUCACAACCCAUUGAAGAGGUAGAUAAUGUAGACUCCGAUUCAGACUUUGACGAGGAAACGCUAAACCUCCUAGUACGAAAAGAGCGCUUCACUUGCCAUGAAUGUGGUAAGCCAGAAAACAUGAAGUAUCAGUACCCUACUUAUCUGAAAAGAGUUGAUUCGGAGAAGAGCAAUCCCCGGGACUUCAAAUCAAAGAAAGCAUACAUCGUCUGGGAUGUACCGGAGGAAGAAACAACAUCAAGCACCUUGGAUGAAGAGGAGACCGCGAAGCUGUGCUUAAUGACUAUUAUAGAUGAGGCUUGCGGAUCAGGUAGCAAGGAUACUUUAGAUGAGGUAUACUCUGACACAUCCUCUUCUUCUUCUAACUCUCCCUCAUAUGAAAUAUUAUAUAGUGCUUAUGUUGAGAUGCAUGAAGAAAUUAGCAAAGUUAAGUAACGAAUCACCCCAUUGCUUUUUCCCUCCAUAAACCGUCUUCCUCAUCUCCUAUUGCCAAGCAUUUGUUUUUCCCCAAAUUCAAAACCUCACCCUAGGUUUUCCUCGACCAUCCUUUAAGCCUUCAUCAGGAUUCAGUGUUUGAUUACUAUGGAUAAAGGACGUGGAAAGAGAAUCAAGACAACCGCACAAUGUCCACCACGUGCUCCAAAAACAGUGCCUCCGCCACAACCAAGCCAGAACCAUGGGGACCCAUACUACUCUCUAAUUAUACAAGAAACUCGGUUGCAGAAAUUUCAAGGAAGAAAAUCCACCUAUAUCCGGUUUGCGAAUGUGACUUGGCUUGCAGAACAGAACUUCGAAUUUCCACAUGGCUUACAAGCUCCAGGGGUUGUCCCCUUCUUGGAAUUGAAAGGUAAUAUUUACCCUACUCUAGUUAGGGAGUAUUACGCAAAUUUUAGAUAUAAAUAUGGUCAAUAUUGGUCGAUGGUAGCUGGAAAAUUGUUUGAGAUUAACGAAGAAAUCUUUAUGAAUGUGGGUGGUUUAGCUUUUUCCGGUGCUAGUCUGAGUGAUUGUGGUUGGGAAAGCGACAACUCAUUCGAUGUUGUUGAAAUAUAUAAGUCAUGUUUGCGUAGACAUCAACUCUAUGUCCAAGGCGAAUUGACCAAAGCUGGGUCACUUUCCGUAGAAAACACACUCCUACACUACUUGAUUGCCUACAUACUGAUUCAGAGAAACAUAAAUCAUGCACAACCUACCAUGAAUGAUUUGAGGUUUAUGUUUACUGUGAAAGAGAACAUCAUGAUAAACUGGCCUGAUGAAAUUCUGAAGGUCAUGUAUAGCGUCUCAGUCUCUCAAUCAAGACUACUUCAGUAUAGUAUCUUCAUAUCCCGAGUAAUUGACUAUUUUCACAUUGAUAUUUCAGAUACUAUUGUGACGGACUGCUCAGACAAGGAUUACUUGAUUGGUGAGAGCAUAAUUCAUAAGAUGGGCAUCUACAAGUAUGGCAACACUUGGCAAUAUCAAGAGGACUUCAACAAUGCCAACCUUGAUCCUUCCGGUGAAGAUGAUUAAGACAUGAACCUAAAGUCAUUUGUUGUAACUCAGGGGGAGUAUUCUGGACAUGCAUCACAAGAACCUGCAUUUGGACAAACUUAUAUUGAUGCUAUGGAACAACGUCUCAAUAAUAGGAUGGACCUUCACUUUCAGUCUCUCAAGGAUUUAUAUCAUACGAAUUUGGAACAUUUUGAGGAACGUCAGAAUGCAUACAUUGACAACCAUUACCAAUCCUUGCGGAACCAUAUUCAGUCUGCUAAUGAGUCUCAGAAUAGAAGAAUGAUUGCUGAGUUCAACAAGCUGAGUGUCUUCAUCAAGGGUUGUUGUAGCUCGUCGACUCCUGACAACCAGAAUCCUCCAUCACAUCCUUAGAUUGGAACCUUUAGAGCCUUAGUUUAGUCUUCCUAGCUAAUGGACUUUGUUGAUCCUGUUUCCUCUUCAGAUCUUAUGUUUUGUGUUGCGUUACUGUUUUAUUUGGAUUGUAAUAACUCAUAUCUACUGCUGAACUAAUGUUUUACAUUCUGUGGUCAAAUGAUUUCAAAUUAUCGCGUUUAUACUUGCUUGUUAAUUAUGUUGCAUAUAGCACCUCACUUUGUUUGAAAUGUAUCUUGAUCAUGAUUGGUAUAUGUGAUUAUGUUGAAUGAUUAUGCCUAUUUUAAACUGCUUAAAUUAUCAAAUGCAUAAUCAUUCCAUGCUUGGUUUGCUUAUGCAUAACCCCUCAUUCAUAACCCCUCUUGUCAUUCAAAUUGUUCUAUGGCUAUCUACUGUCAUUUUAAUCGAUUAACAAGAUACUCUUAAUUGAUUAAAUGAUGUAAAAAUUGUGAAUUUGUUCAAGCUUCUUAACAGCUGAUUAAUUGGUUCAAAACCCAAGGUUAAUUGAUUAAUUUCUGUCUUGUCUUAACCAUAAUAACUCUCCUAACUUUUGACUAGAAUUGAAUACGUUUAUCUUUUUGAUAAUGUCAAAACGGGGAGAAAGAUUGCUUGUUGUGUUAUAUACAUUUUUGCAGGUUUGUGUAGUGUUUUUGCAGGUUGUUCUAUCAAGCUUCCGUACAUAUUUUUGCGUACCUACAAGGAAACAAAUGCGCUUUAACUUUGCUCUCAUAAAAACAACCUCAAUCAACCUCAUUGCAAAAUCAUCAUCAAGCUUAUCCAUCAAUAAUUGAAGAAUUUUGAUGAAGUGUUUGUCAUCAUCAAAAAUGGGGAGAUUGAAAGUCCAAAGUGUCAUGAAUAGCACUAGCAUGUCUUUGCCUAUGUUUUAAUGAAUACAUGGUUUUAACAAAGCUUGAAGAUGGCUCAACAAUCAAUAGGCCUUAUGCUCAUUUGGUCAUGUCUAGACUAGGAUAUAAAUUGAGUCUGUAAUCUAAGUUGUCUGGGAUGUGUGUCGUAGUAAUUGAGUAUAGGUUAGGUGAACCUAGAUGCUAGUCUCUUACGCAAUCUUAAUUCACAUAUCAUAUUCAUGAGAUACAUCAUCUAGUUAAUUGUAUCUUCAUGCAUCUAUCAUAUAUGUAAUAGCAUAUUAGGCAUAAUAUAAUUGGUAAAACAUGUAUAUAUAUUGUGCAUAACAUAUGAGAAUUUUACCAUUUGAAAAAUAUGCAUAAAUGUUCCAGUUAAUUGAUUAACGUGGCAACUUAAUCGAUUAACUUAACUGCUUUUCUUUUAAAUAUAUAUUUUCUGUUUUAACUGAAUUUUGUGUCAUUUUGUUGUCCCGUAAAUCGAUUAAAUGGAAGCCUUAAUCGAUUAACUAGUUUGUUAUGUGUUAUAACUGAAAUCUGUUUUAACUGUUUCAACUGUUUAACUGUUUAACUAUUGUUGCAACGAAUGUAACCACUUAUUCUCCAUGUUAUAAAUACAAGGCAUCAGUCAGAAACCCAUAGCAUUGCAUUCUAUUGUAUAGGGUUGUUUAGAGAGCAUUUGGCAUACGUGUUUUACNNNNNNNNNNNNNNNNNNNNNNNNNNNNNNNNNNNNNNNNNNNNNNNNNNNNNNNNNNNNNNNNNNNNNNNNNNNNNNNNNNNNNNNNNNNNNNNNNNNNAGAGUUGCAUGUGUGAGAAGAGAGAUUAUAAUGUUUUAAUUGCUGUCAUAUGCUUACUGUUUUUGCAUAAUUUCGUAUCCAUUCUUAUCUUGCUCACAUGAUCAUGCAUUAGAUUUUGAUAGAGAGAAAUGAUUUGUAUACUAAUAUUGAUUAACUCAUUUGAGUAUUGAUGGCUUAAGUGAUUAGGAAAAUGGUUAAUCUUUGAGUCUUUAUCUUGUAAUAUUCUAAGCAUUAUUGUGCUUAGUAUACCUUGAUGUUUAACGUGUUUUUGUGUAGUCUAGAUUUGUCUCUUGGUGUGAGAUCACCAUAGAGAUUGAAGUUUUUCACCAUGGCUAUGAGGUCUUGAUUUGAGGAUAAGAAUCUUGGCUUGGGCUAGUUCGUGAGAAAGGUUUUCUCAAGAGGGGAAGGGUAUAGUCAAACCAAGGAUUUAGAGAUCCUAGAUUUCAAGAAGGGAGCGUCCUAUGUGCUUGUAAUUAAAUUGGUUGUUUGUAUCCAUUUUUCAAUAUUGUGAAGAAAGAAAAUCUCUCUGAUCGAGAAGUGGAGGCCUGGAUAUAGUUUGCAGUGGACCGCAAACGAACCAGGAUAAAAAUCCUUUUUGCACUGUUCUUUCUCUCUUUAUCUUCUUUAUGUUUCUUGCCAUUACAAAUUGAAUCUGUAAUUGAAAAGUUAGAUGUUUGUUGACUGUCGUAUACUUAAUAAUUGUGCAUAAAAAUAUCUGAAUUAUAUCUGUUCAAUUUUGUUUUAAUUACUGUGCAAUUUGCAUGUUUGAUCAUUUUGUUUUGUGCAAUAGGUAAUCGAUUAAACCUUGUUGUUAAUCGAUUAAACCCUGUUGUUAAUCCAGCUGUUGGGUUUUGGUUCAAGAAGCGGUGAUUGUUAACAGCUACACCUAUUAAACCCCCUCCCCCUUCUAGGUGUUCCUAGACCUCUGAUACCUAACACAGUCCCACUUUUCCAAUAUUUGCGGAGAAUACAUAGUUGAUGCAAUUAAUCUAUUAUCGACAUGUUUAUUCGAUUAAGGACAGUUCAAUUAAUCGAUUAUUAUCAGUACGUUAAUCGAUUAUCCUGAUUGUUAUACUUUGAAAAUCAGUUUUCUUGCUUCAUAAAAACCGUGACGAUUCUUGGUCUUUACUAUCCUAAGAUUGAUUCUUGAUUAACAAAUGAUUAAAACAGUAAGCAAUUAUCACAAAAAACCAAUAAAAAUAGAAUGUAGUAAAGACAAAAUUGUAAAGAGAUAGGGAUAGAGAAAAAGCGCUCGAGGUUUUUUAUCAUGGUUUGUUUGCGGUCAACUUCAAACUACAUCUAGGCCAAUCAGUUGAUCUACGAGAUUUUUCUUCAGUUUUCAGAAAUGUAAUUUACAACCACACUUCCAAUACAACGAGACAAAAACUUCCUUCUUGUAACUGAUGAGCCACUAAGCUCGGUUUGACCCCUAAUCUAUGCCUACUUGGAUACCAUACCAUUUGUGCAAUUUUGCCCCAACCGAAACUCUUGCUUGAAUCAAGACUUUCUUUCUAAUGAAGACUCCUAAUUCUUAACCUGUGAUGAUACCACACAUCACGAGAAUUCUCCUCAAGUUAUAGAUUUUUCACCGAGUUAGAUAACGACUCUUAAUUCGGCUCUAAUCACCCUUGACAGAAAGAUCUCACAAACUUUUUGGCGCAAUGAAAAUGAUUCUCUCUAUUUUCUCUCUCUUUUCACUCUUGAAGCUUAUGAAAGAAAACCUCAAAGACACAACAAGAAAGCUUUGAAACUUUUUAGCACAAUGAAUCUUUAGUUUUCUCUCUCUCGGAUAAUUUCACAAUUCUUGUUCAAUUAAGGUGAAAAGCUGUUUUAAAAACGGAUUCAAUUCAGUUUCAAAAUAACAGAAUUAGCUCAUAACUUAUACAACAUAUGUUAAUCGAUUAAAUGUCCAUGUUAAUCGCUUAACAGUUUCUUUAAAAAAGGAUUUUUAGUUGUGGCUUAAUCGAUUAAAAAUGUGCUUAAUCGAUUAAUAGAUAGAAAUCCUGGGAGGUUACAUUCUGUAAAUCCAUUUAAUCGAUUAUGACUUUUCUUAAUCGAAUGAGGAUUUCUCUAGGGCUUAAUCGAUUACUAAACGGGUUAAUCGAUUAAAAUCGCUUAAAAUGGGUUUUCUAUUUAUGCGGUAAAUACCCUAUAUAAUGAAUGAGCAUGCAACAUGAUUAAUAGAAAGAAUAAACCCUUUAUGCACAAAACCAUGUAGGUAUGAACGCAAAUGCAUGAGUGUCAUUUAUCAUAUAUAUGUAUGAUGAUGUUAUGCCUCAUUCUAUAUGAUUUUCAUUUUAGACUUUUUGUGAGACACUUCCAUCUUGGGUUUACCUAACCUAAGACUCAAUACUACGCAAUUAACUUAGAACUCUAGAAUGCAAAAAGCAAUCCCAGACUCUUUGAUGUUGACCUUGAGUUCUUGGUGUGUUGUUUGUUGAGAUGUCCAAGUCUUCAAGCUUCCAUAUAAGACCUUGUCUUCAUCAGAACUUCGUAGGUCGGUUAUAAUGGCAUCUUUUGACUAUUUGCCAUUUCAAUCUCCCCCUUUUUGAUGAUGACAAACACUGAAACAAUUCCUUUGUUUGAUGACUUGAAGCUGGGCAAAAUCUGUUUGCAUAGGGUUGAAUCAAAAUGCGUUGCUCCCCCUCACUUUGUUCUCCCCCUCAAACCAUGUAAGAGGUAAUACUAGGGUAGCAACAUGAUUACUAGUGGAAGCUCACUUCAACCUGCAAAACUGCUCAAAGUACACCUUUCUCCCCCUUUUGGCGUGAUCAAAAAUCUAUGGCAGAUUAUGAUAUUAAAAGCCAAAAGUAAGGAAAGAUAUACACAUUUUACUGGUCUUAAUCGAUUAAUUAAUCAAGGAUAAUCGAUUAAGCAGUCUAAGUAAAAUUUUUACAAGUACAUAGAGUUUAGCAUUAAUCUAUUAUAAAAUGGAGUUAAUCGAUUAUGUAUGAAUAAAAACAGAUUAUUGUAGAAUUGAUUGCGAGAUUUAUCUAGUUAUAUAGGUUCAACAUGAAUUACAUAGAAUGAUCAAUGAUAAUGAUAGGCAAUAUGUAGAGCAGAUUAAUCAUUCAACAAUAUAUAUACACAUGUAGAUAACAUCAAAGGAUAACAUAAUAAUUUGAAACAUAACCCAAAUUAGCAACAAGUUUUACAAAAUAUAUGAGUAAGUGCAAACGAGUACAUAGAUUUCAACAUAAGUGCAACAAAAUACAAUCAAAAUAUUAUCAAACGCUAAGAGAUGAUCUCUAAAGCAGACCACAUACACACCUUAGACACACUAGAAAAUCCUAUCUAGGCUAAUCUUGUGUAGGUGGUAGUUGGAGUGAGCCAUGUGGAGCACGCACAAUCAACAUGAUGCGUUCUAGCUCUUCGAAAAGUCGUUGUUGUUACUGCUGAAAUUCAACUGCCAUAGAAUCCCUUAUGGUCUGAAAAUGUCCAUCAAUACGCGCAUUGAGGCUCUAUUCCUUAGCAUCCAUGUGAGCAAGCCCAAAAGGUAGAUCUUAAGGCUCAGUAGAUGCCUUUAUAGGUGGUUGCUCAAGGAUAGACUAACUAGGAUAUGCAAUAUUAUUUUCAUUUGGCAUAUCCUCAUUCACUUUGGCAGUAUGAUCUUCCUGAUAUUUCCCUUCAUCACCAUAUUUAUAAAUUCCCAUUUUGUGAAUCAGAUUAUCACCAACAAGGUACUCUCGGGAAAUUGUCAUAAUAGUGUCCACAUUAGUGGGUCAAUCUCAUAAUAGUCAAUAAUACGAGAGAUGAAUAUCUCGUAGGCGAGCAAUCUUGAUGAAGAUGAAGCUAUGCCCUGCAAAACUUUUAGAAUCUCUGAAGGCCAAUUCACCACAAUACCUUUCCGUAUAACGAACAUAAGCUUUAGAUCAUUGGCGGUGGGUUGAGCAUGGUUGGUAUUUAUCUGAACCAAUAUAUAUGCAAUCAAGUAGUGGAAAAGUCGGUUUUCUACAAUCAAUGACCCUGCCUUGGUUAAUUCCCCUUAUACAAAUAGGUGACAUCCUCUCAAGCAAGACUUGUACAUUUCAAUAGCAUCGAAUGAGUCCCAUGGCUUAUUUGCACAAUCACCUAGUCUCGGUCCAUCAGAAUCAAGACCUCGAACAUCCAAAAAUAACUCUCCCUUAAGAAUAAUCAUCUUCCCCAUUACCAUUGAAGAAUACACCUCAUCUUUAUACCUAAAAUUGCUAUAGAAUUCCCUAAUGAGCGAAGAAUAAAGCUUACCUUUCAAUUCCACAAAUUUUUUCAAUCCUUGGGUCUCUAACCCAUAUGGGAAUUGAAAGCCUUGUGCAACCAGCCAUUAUGCAUCCGCAUACCGGAUGUAGGUUUGCUUACGACCUUGAAACUUAGCCAAUUUGGCAUCUUGAAGAAAUGGAGAGUAGUAAGGGUCUCCACAAUUCUGUCGUCCUCCUUGAGCCGAGGAAAAGACCUUUUCUCCGCCUCUCGCAUGCUUGGCGGUGUGUUUCAUUCUCAUCCUUCUUGAUUCACUCAUCUUAGCAGGUAUAUCACUAAUUUAAUCGAUUCGAUAGUCCAGUUUUCGAAUUGGGGGUUUUAGGGUUUCUAAAGAGGGAUAGAUGGUUAAGAUUCAGAUUUUUGGUGAUUUAUGGUUGUAUAGAGAUGGAACAACUAAAUAGUAAUAGAGAUUGUUAUUAGUUCUAUUGGAAUACUCGAUUUAAGGAAAAGAUUCAAAAGGGGGGAAGCAAAGAGGAUUAGGGUUCUAUGUCAAAAAUAACCUAGAAUGACACUUGAAUCUGAUAUAGCGUUGUCGUUAAUCGAUUAUAUGCAUUAGUUUAAUCGACUAACCAACUUAAAGUUUUCAAAAAUUGAGAUUUUGGAUCCCAGCUAAUCGAUUAAAUUUUGACGAUAAUCGAUUAAUCAGAUGACGAUUUUCAGAGUUUCAAAAUAUUGAGCCCAAGCAAUCGAUUAAACGGACUUUUAAUCGAUUAAAUUGCAAGAUUAAAAUUUCUUUUGGCUACUGGAACUCAAAUUAAUUGAUUAAGGCAUAGAAGAAUUGAUUAUUGGCAGAGCUUAACACAUAUUUUAGUACAAUUUAUAGAUUUCUAGAAUAUGCUUAGAGUAUUAUUGCUAAGAUACAAACCUAAAGGAUUUUGACAUACUAAUAGAGCAUAAAAAUAGUCAUGAAGAUAAUCUAAACAAGGAAGCAUGCAUUCAUAACAUGUAUCAUUCAUAAGCAUGUAGUCAAGAUCAAGCAAGGCACAUAAUUACCUUCGGUACCUUAGUUUAGAUAUUUUUCAUCAGGUAUGCCAAGUUCUCUACGUAACAUAAAGAAAGCAUCUCGUGGAAGGGACUUGGUGAAAAUAUAUGCUAAUUGCUUCGAGGUUUCAACAAAUUCAAGUAUGCAAUCACCUUUCUGAACAUGAUCUCUUAAAAAAUGAUGUCUAAUCUCUAUAUGCUUAGUUCUAGAAUGCAGAAUUGGCUUUUUGUUCAAAGAGUUUUCAUGCUUGCUUUAUUUUGAGGUGGCGAGUUCCUAAUUAUUUUAUUUAAUGACAGGUUGAUUCUUUGCUCGCCACCUCGACUUUGUUGGAACAAAUUCUAAUCCCGGUAUAAUGGUUUCAAGAAUGUUACUUUAAUAAAAAAAACAUAGUUUUAUUGAAUUAUUAACAAUUUCAUACUAUCUCGGCUUUGUGGAAUAAAUUCCAACAUCGGUUUACAGGUAUGAAUUUAUCAAAUUAACAUAAGUGAUAAUGAGUGAUAUUUAUUUCAAUUUCCUUUUAUUAACCAAACUACUUCCUUAUGGAAGGUUGGUAAAGAAUAAAUGAGUAAAACAAUAAAUUGUUAGUUGCAUAAUUUAAAUGACAUAAAUUAAAUGUUAGUUGCAGAAAUGUAAAUGACUGAAAAUAAAAGUUAGUAGUUAGAUCACUCAUUAUGAGUGUGUAUUUUUCAUUUUCACAAAGAUACAAUUUAUGAAUUAAAUUACACUUUGAUUCCAGGUUUCUUUCUUUGUCAACAAAUAAAAUUUAUUUGAUAACACUUUCCUAUUUUACAUUUGUAUCUCUUUCAAGAUUCAAUUGUAGUAUAAUAUAGGGUAAUGUCGAACCACAAGGAAUUUCCUAAUAGAAAUGUACUAAUACUUUGUAUCUUGUAUCAAAGGUAACAAAGUAACACAUAAAGUUGUUUUGAUGUUUCUAUCAAAUAAGAAACAAGAAAAAGUAAAGAACUAACUAUUUUCAAAUUCAAUAAGAGAAGAUUGGUUUGAAAUAUGGAAUUAUUUCUAAACUCAAAUGAUUUUUGAAGAACAUUAACAAGUUAUAUGUUAUACUUUCGGUUAAUUCCAAACCUUGCAAACCUUGCAAAAUACACUAAUCAAUAGAAAACUGCCACUCGACGAAAUAAGUUGUCAUGCCUUAUUUCAGGCUCCAUAAACAUUGAUUAGCCUUGAUUAUAAGUUGCUUAAAAUGGAUGUUUUGAUUCGGCAAAUGAACUAAGGUGUAUUCCUACUUUUUUGUUCAUUUGUCAAGACAUUAAAACGAAGCAUUUUGGAUCAUGAAAUCAAGUUUUAGGUGAUCAAGCUAAAACCGCAUUAAGAACUUCUUAAAGAAUUGAAACUUAACCAAAAGUAAUAUAUUGAAUGUAUUGAAAUCAAAAUAUGAUACAAAUGAAGAAAAGAAAUAACCUUACACCAUGAUCCAAAUCAAUAUGUAGGAGCAUGAGCCAUCUAUCCAAGGAUGAGAUGCUUUUGAUUCCAAAUGAUGUUACAAAAUCAUGUUUUUGUACCUCAUUUGCCUACAACAUUCUCUUUGAAUUUCUAUGAACUAAAAGCCUAAAAAAAGCCUAAGAACACUCUAAAAAGAGAGAGAACCGAAAUGGGAAGAAGUUGAUAAAUUUACAAAGUAUUUACAACUAUGUGCAAUGUUUUUAAGGCAAGGUAUGGGUGUGCCUUUUAUAGGAAAAGUGAAGGCCGCUUAGCCCCCCUUUCUGGUUGAUUAGCUCCUUGUCUGGCGCACCCAAGCUGGUGAGUCCGUAGCUCGUCCCAUCUUGGCCAGCUAGCUUGAACAAUCUAUUAUGGGCUAGGCUACGUGCAUGGUGACACUUCCUACUUGGUUGUCUCAUGCAUGAGGUCAUAAACGUGGUACAUAAGUUAGCUUUGGCUGCUUUCUUGGCUUGUGACAUCAUCCAUGACAUAACCAUUCUUCUAGGCCAAACAAUCAUUUUUAUGGUGGGUCAGGCGCUUAACUCAACUGGUCCCAUGCUUAUGUGCCUACUUGAGUAGCUUGGCUGACCUGGUCACAUGCUCAGCUGCCUACUUGAGCAGCUUAGCUGACAUGGUCCCAGCUCAGCUUCCUGCUUGAGCAGCCUAGUCUAAUUUGGUCCAUGCUUAGCUGCCUACUUGAUCAGCUUGGCUGACCUGGUCCAUGCUCAGCUGCCUGCUUGAGCAGCCUGCCUGACCUGGCCUGGUGCUUGGUGCUCGGCUAGAUAGCUUUGUGCUUGGUUGGAUUGCUUUGUGAGCAACUUUUCUUUUACUUUAAUUUCUUCCAACCAAGAUCAAUUUGCUUAGUCAUGCUUAAGUUUAAGCAUGCACCUUACCAUGCUUAGUUUUAAGCACACAUGUGUCAUGUACUUUGUCUUGAUUUCUUCAAGGUGAAGCAAGCUUUAUUUCUUCAAGCUUAAGCAUUCUUUUUGGUCCAAUUUCCUACGAAACUCAUAGAAAACUUGGACAAGAGGUGAUCAAAGAUUAUAUUAUUCAAACACACAAAAUUUAUCUAAAAAGUGUUGAAUGAAGUUGGUUUUCUCAUUUUUGCAUAGGAUAAGUGCCCUAGAAAGUGUAUGAAAAUUAGGUAUUUUUGGCACUUAUCAAUUUUUUGAUAGAUUUAUGGCACUAGUAUUAUCCAUUUUAUAGGAAUUUUCAUUACUUUCAAGCCAAAUUCCAAUAGUCGUUGCUUCAUCCAUAAUAUCUGAGCGCAACAUACACCUGUGGCAAUAUAUUCUGCUUCAGUGGUAGACAAAGAAACACAGACUUAUUUCUUACUAUGUCAUGAUACUAGGGAGCUGUCCAAAAGGUGGCAAGUCCCAGUAGUACUCUUUCGGUCUACCUUGCAUCCCGCAAAGUCAGAAUCGGAAUACCCUAUUAGGGAUAACGAAGCAUCCCUAUGAUACCAUAAACCCACAUACAUUGUUCCUUUAAGAUAUUUCCAAACACAUUUUACAGCACUAAAAUGAGAUUCUCUAGGUGAAGCUUGAUAUUUAGCACACAUACAUACACUAAACAUUAUAUUGGAGCGACUAGCAGUUAGAUACAUUAAAGAACCUUUUAUCCCACCAGAUUACCUCAAUUGCUUUACCUUUUUCGUCAUAGUCGAGAUAGCAAGAUGGUGCCAUAGGUGUUGUUGCUUCCAUACACUUAUCCAUCUCGAAUCUUUGCAAGAGUUCCUUGCAAUACUUUGUUUGGUGAAUGAAUAUCCCACUGUUCAUUUGUUUUAUUUGUAGUCCAAGAAAGAAUGUUAGUUCGCCCAUCAUCGACAUUUCAAACUCCCCCUUUUUUGAUACCACUUGUUUACACUUUUGACAAGUAUAACAAGAGUCUUUUGAUUUGAAAUCAAGCUUUGGUAAUCCUACCACUUAUUAUCACACAACUGGCUAAUGCAUAGCAGGUUGUACUCUAGUCCUUUGACAUAUAGCAUGUUUUCUAUUACGGAUUGUAAAUCAUUUCCAAUUCGUCCAACUCCUAGUAUCUUUCCUCUAUUGGUGUCUCCAUAAGUGACAUAACCUUUACCAUUUAGUGAGAGAUCUAGGAACUUCGAUCUGUCACCUGUCAUAUGCCUUGAACGUCCAUUGUCUAACACACAUUGUUAUUUCUGAGUUCGAAGAUAUACCUGUAAAACAAUUUUACUUGAAUUGAUUAGGUACCCAAGUUAUAUUGGGUCCUUUCUUGUUAGUAAUCAAGGACUCUUGCCCUUUUCGCAUCUAUACAUAUUUACCACUAGGUAUUCCAUAUUUCCUAAUAUAACAUGAUAUAGAUGUAUGACCAUGUUUACCACAAUAAAAACAAGUAGACAAUUUUUGAUUAGUCAUAUUAUGCAUGUAAUCUAAUUGCCUCUUAUAUGGUCUUCUAUUUUUAUUUGGCUUAUAGCUAAGACCUCCCUAAUUACCUACAUUUCUAGAUUUUUCAAAUAGGUUGUUCAGGUUAUAACUACUAUAAGUGAGUUUUGCCAAUUUAUCUUUCAAGUCAUAAAUUUUAGCAUUUAAUACAUCACAAUUAUCACCUAUAGGGGUUCAAUUAAUUUAGUCGCGCAACUACAUGAGGCAGGUGAGUAGAUGAGAUCUAGAGUUUCAUUUUCUAGUUUCAAUUUAUUUAGUUCUUCUUGCAUCUUAGUUAUUUUACUUUCAUGCAACAAAAUGACUCGUUUUCUAUCUACAUUUAUUUUUGCCAGUUUCUUAAGUUCCUCAUGCAACUCAACAAAUGCACUAUAUAAUUCAUUGUAAGUAGGAGACUCAUCGGAACACAAAGAACAGUCAGAAAAAUGUACCUCACUCUUGUCAUCCGGAUCGCUUGUGCUGCUAAUUUCGUGAGUGUUUGCCAUUAAGGACAAUUUGGCGGUCUCCUCUUCAUCGGAUGUGCUACUCGUUGUCUUGUCCUCCGGAACAUCCCAUACAAUGUAAGUCUUCUUGGAUUUGAUGUCCCUGGUGAUGCUUUUAUCGUGUUCAACCUUCUUGAGGUGAGUCGGGCAUUGGAAUUUCAUAUGGCCCGGUUUGCCACACUCAUUGCAAAUGAGGCGAUCUUUGGGAGUUUUACCUCAUCUGGUUGAAUCAGUUGCCUCCUUCUUUUGAAAUCGUUUAAAUCCUCCUUUCUUCUUGAGAAACUUGCAAAACUUUCUAACCAGAAGAUUUAACGUUUCAUCAUCUAAUUCAGACCCUGAAUCAACAUCGUCUCUCUCUUCAUGUGAUUGUGAAGAUGUAGCUUUCAAAGAUAUGCCCUUUUUCUUUAGGUCUGAAUCUUCAUGCAUUGUUAAGCCUCCCAACUCCAUUUCCUGUUCUUGGAGUUUGCCAAAGAGAGUUGUUAUUGGCAUAGUGUCUAAGUCUUUCGACUCCAUAAUUGAUAUUACCUUAGGCUGUCAUUUCCUAUCAAGACAACACAACACUUUUUUCGUAAGUUGACCAAUAGAAAAAUUCUUAUCUAACGCAAUUAAAUGAUUUACAAUAUGAGAGAAUCUUUUUUUAUUUCAUUUAUCGAUUCAUUAGGAAACAUUCUAAACAACUCAUAUUCAUGUGUCAAAGCAUUUAAUCGAGCACACUUAACCUCACUUGUGACUUCAGGGUUACUUGCAAAGUAUCCCAUAUUUCCUUUGCAUUUAGGCACUGUGACACCCAAAAGAAUUCUUCGUAUAAUAAGGUAGAGGUUAUAAUGUUCUUUGCCUUGAGAUUGUGCUGGACUUUACGUCUUUCAUCGUCAUUCCACAAUCCCUAGAGAAUCUCAUUUGGGUUCACCAUCCACUAUGUGAAGUGGAGUGCAAGGCCCAUUGACAACAGAGCCCCAAAUCUCCGUGUCUAUUGCCUCUAUAAAGAUUUGCAUAUGCACCUUCCAGUAGGCAUACCCUUAGGCGCUAAAAAUCGGAGGGCGGUUGAUGGAUGUGCCAUCACCGUCGAAGGGGUGUGUGGAACCCAUAGUAAUUAAUCCCUCAGAUCAACGAAUUUAGCAGCAAAGCUAGUACUUUCGUACUAGCUCUGAUACCACUUAUUGAGUACCAUUAAGGUAAGAUUACACCUAGAAGGGGGUGAAUAAGUGUCGCGGAUCACCAGUCUUGCUUUUCCGAUAUUUGCACAGAAUACAAAGUUGUUUUCAAGGACCUAAUUAUGAAAUCAUGCAAGGUGUUUUCAAUUGAAUGAAAAAUGUUUUGGCGCGAUGAAAAGGAUUUUCUCACUUUCCUCUCUCUUUUCACUCUUGAAGCUUAUGAAAGAAAAUCUCAAAGAAACAACAGGGAAGCUUUAAAACGUUUUAGCACCAUGAAUAUUUGGUUUUCUCUCUCUCAAAAAAUUUGACGAUUCUUGCUCAAUGAAGGUGAAAAGUUGUUUUAAAAACGGAUUCAAUUCUAUUUCAAAAUAACAGAAUUAGCUCAAAACAUAUACAACAUGUGUUAAUCGAUUAAAUGGCCACGUUAAUCGAUUAACGGUUUCUUUAAAAAUGGAUUUUCAGUUAUGGCUUAAUUGAUUAAAAAUGUGCUUAAUCAAUUAAUAGACAGAAAUCAUGGGAGGUUACAUUCUGUAACUACAUUUAAUCGAUUAUGACUUUCCUGAAUCGAUUAAGGAUUUCUCCAAGACUUAGUCGAUUACCAAACGGGUUAAUCGAUUAAAUUUGCUUAAAAUGGGUUUUCUAUUUAUGCGGUAAAUACCCUCUAUGAUGAAUGAGCAUGCAAUAUGAUUUUUAAAAAGAAUAAAUCUUUUAUGCACAAAACCAUGUAUGUAUGAAUGCAAAUGCAUGAGUGUCAUUUAUCAUAUAUAUGUAUGAUGAUAUUUUGUCUCAUUCUAUAUGAUUUUCAUUUUAGACUUGUUGUGAGACACUUCCAUCUUGGAUUUACCUAACCUAAGACUCAAUACUAGGAAAUCAACUUAGAACUCUAGAAUGUAAAAAGAAAUCAUAGACUCUAUGAUGUUGACCUUGAGUUCGUGGUGUAUUGUUUGUUGAGAUGUCCAAGUCUUCAAGCUUCCAUCUAAGACCUUGUCUUCAUCAUAACUUCGUAGGUCAGUUAGAAUGGCAUCCUUUGACUAUUUGCCAUUUCAGUGACAAGUCCACUAAACCUUAUCAUUUAGAGGAAGGAGAAGUCGUAACAAUGUUUCUGCAGUUGAACCUGUGGAAGGAUCAUUAUCGAAGACUCACAAGCAGUGUGACCUCGUGAAUAUGAUUUAUUCCUCAGGGGUGGCUAGAGGUGUUUGGCACCUCGGUCCCGCUCGUGUUAGGAGGCGCCACACCCUAUGUGGUGUCCUCCUAGCCUAAUAACAAAACACCAGCGUGGAACGCGCCAAGGAAAUUGAAAUUGUUUACUUCGCCCUCGUCAGCCCGAAGACAAUGCUCGUGUUGGCAGCAUUGCGACACGCUUACCCUAAAGACUCUCGACUAGCGAAAAUGGAGGGAAGCGGAUGGGGGUCGACGAUGUGCCUUUGUCGGAUGUGAAACAGCGAGAGUCGGUCCGCCAAUCGACUCAGGGCAUGGACCGACGCGAAUUGUGAUGGUGGCCCAAGAAGAGGCUGUUGACAUGCUUGUGGAGACGUCAUUAUCACGAUUGUGGUUGGAAGUGCGCGCCAUUUGGUGUACCUCAGCCCUACGUGCUCCGAGCAUCGGCCUGCGGGCUCCUCAUUUGGCCCGUCUUGAAACUUAGACUAAGGAGUUGGACAUGUGUGCGAGUAAGCGGGCAAGUAAACUUGUAAGGCAAAAGGAACCUGAUUGGUGGGAUCUACUUGUGGAUUGCACUGCCGAUCGACCCUGAUCUUCUUUGAAGGGUUCAAGUGAGAGCAUACUUGUUGGGACUCGAAAGACGGUGAACUAUGCCUGAGCGGGGCAAAGCCAGAGGAAUCUUUGGUGGAGGCCCGCAAAUCGUUCGUCUGACUUGGGUAUAGGGGCUAAAGACUAAUCGAACCAUCUAGCAACUAGUUCCCUCCGAAGUUUCCCUUAGGAUAGUUGGAGCCGUGGGAAACUUCUAUUGGGUAAAGCCAAUGAUUAGAGGCAUCAGGGGUGCAACGCCCUCGACCUAUUCUCAAACUUUAAAUAGGUAGAAUGAAAGGAUGAACUAGAAGCUCAGUUACGGUGCCCAACUGUGCGCUAACCUAGACCCCACAAAUGGUGUUGGCCGAUUAAGGGAGAAGGACGGUGGUCUUGGAAGUCGAAAUCCACUAAGGAGUGUGUAACAACUCACCUGCCGAAUCAACUAGCCCAAAAAAUGGAUAGUGCUAAGGCGCGCGAUCUAUACCCAGCCGUCAGGGAAAGGGCCAGGCCCUGAUGAAUAGGAGGGCGCGACGGUUACUGCAUACCCUGGGGCGUGAGCCUAGGAGGAGCAGUUGUGGGUGCAGAUCUUGGUGAUUGUAGCAAAUAUUCUAAUGAGAACUUUGAAGGCCAAAGAGGGGAAAGGUUCCAUGUGAACGACACUUGCACAUGGGUUAGUCAAUCCUAAGGGACGAGAGAAGCCCUUCUGAUAGCACUCUAAGCGCACACUCCGAAAGGGAACCGGGUUAAAAUUUCUAAACCAGGACGUGGCGGUUGACAACAAGGUUAGGGAGUCCAAAGACGUCGGUGGGGCCUCAUAAAGAGUUAUCUUUUCUGUUUAACACCUAGCCCACCCUGGAAACGACUCAGUCGGAUGUAGGGCCCAGCGGCUGGAAGAGCACCACACGUCGCAUGGUGUCCGAUGCGCCCCAGCAGCGCUUGAAAAUCUGGAGGACCGAGUGCCUCCCAUGCUCGAUCAUACUCAUAAUCGCUUCAGGUCUCCAAGGUGAAUAACCUUUGGUCGAUGGAACAAUGUAGGCAAGGGAAGUCAGCAAAAUGGAUCUGUAACCUUGGGAAAAUGGAUGCAUUGGUUGUUGGUGGAUUGCUCGAAGUGCUCUCGCAACGAGAGUUGGUCGCUGUGUGCUGGUCGGGGGACAAAUUGGGAACGGGCCCUUUGGGGCCUCUUCCUUGGGCUUCGAACAGUAGACUCAUGACUGGUACAGACAAGGGGAAUCUGACUGUUUAAUUAAAACAAAGCAUUGUGAUGGUCCCUGUGGAUGUUGACGCAAUUUGAUUUCUACCCCGUGCUCUCUGAAUGUCAAAGUGAAGAAAUUCAACCAAGCGCGGGUAAACGGUGGGAGUAACUGUGACUCUCAUAAGGUAGCCAAAUGCCUUGUCAUCUAAUUAGUAACACACGUGAAUGGAUUAACUAGAUUCCCACUGUCCCUGUCUACUAUCCAGCGUAACCACAACCAAGGGAACAUGCAUGGCAGAUUCAGCGGGGAAAGAAGACCUUUUUGAGCUUGACUCUAGUCCGACUUUGUGAAAUGACGUGAGAGGUUUAGGAUAAGUGGGAGUUGGAAACAACAGAAGUGAAAUACACUACUUUAAACAUUAUUUUACUUAUUCUGUGAAUCAGAGGCGGGGCACAACCCAUUUUUUUGGACCCAAGGCCAGCCUCAGGCGAUCGAUCUAGGCCGAAGACAUUGUUAGGUGGGGAGUUUGGCUGGGGCGGUAC
RNAcentral lists this long non-coding RNA (67393 nucleotides) under Lupinus angustifolius (narrow-leaved blue lupine). RNAcentral describes it as "long non-coding RNA (LANG_LNC000300)". The stretch from base 64414 to 67393 matches the Rfam family "Eukaryotic large subunit ribosomal RNA", at positions 1 to 2636 of the family's 3401-position model. The record is from RNAcentral. Lineage: Eukaryota; Viridiplantae; Streptophyta; Magnoliopsida; Fabales; Fabaceae.